This 74226-nucleotide long non-coding RNA is filed under the name Ananas comosus (pineapple). RNAcentral describes it as "long non-coding RNA (ACOM_LNC002812)". Lineage: Eukaryota; Viridiplantae; Streptophyta; Magnoliopsida; Poales; Bromeliaceae. The record is from RNAcentral.
AUUAAUUGAUAAUUAGCCAGAGAAGUUAAUUAGAAAAGUUAAUUAGGGUGCAGAAGUUAAUUAUCUAAAAUUAAUUGGGAUAAAUUAGUCAUUAUAUAUGCACAGACCUUAAAGCAGAUCUAAUGGCCAAAAAUAGUUACGAGAACAAUAACUAUUUAAAAUUUAAAAUUUAUAAUUUAUAAUUUAAAUUUAAAAUUUAAAAUUUAAAAAAUUAAAGUUUAAAAUUUUUAAAUUUAAAUUAAAAAUUAAAAAUUUAAAUUUUAAAAUUUUAAAAUUUAAAAGUUGACAAUUUAAAAUUUUAAAUUAAAUUUUUUAAUAUGACGUACUGAAAGGGUUUCAAGAGCUAGAGGGAUAAAAUUGUUAUUUUACAUAAUAUGCAGUAUUACUGACUUUCAGUAAUCCAAGAUACACAUCACCUCUCGUUAAUAUUUUUUGUGUAAUUCUGCAUAAUUUGUAAUGCUAUAUUACCAACCUGAUUAUAUAUCGAAUGAACCAAAUACGAUAAUUCUCACAGGAUUGCAUGUAAUCCUGCCAGGAUAACCCGAACCAAACGCAUCCUAAGAGUAUAGUAGUAGCUGCACUAGAUAUAUAGAGAGAGAGAGUUGGACUAAAAUACUAUUAAUAGUGUUUGCCCAUUUUGAUCAUUUAUAGCCAUUGGAUUAAAUAUUAUAACCCAGUGAGUACCACUCAACUUUAAGAGAAUAAUAUCAUACAAACCCUACAAUUUCUCAUCCAAGGGUUAUAUAGUUAAGCGGAAAUACUAUCGGUAACAAUAUGCUAUGUUGCUAUCUAUUUAUUUUUUAUGACAGAGCCUCUAAAUCGACGAUCUGCACCGUUGAGCAUAAUCUAUAGCAUUUAAAAUAUCUAAAAAUCAGAUUUCACACUUUUUCGAUAUUGCUCUCUUAUCCAUCAAGUGGACACAAAAAUAAACGACUGGAAAUGAAUAUCCUCUAAAAAAUGAUGAUAGGAGUUUUGUAAUCAAGAUCGAACGUAUAGAUCUUGUUCUAAACAAUUUAAAAAAUUUUCUAACAAAAAUUCAAUUAAUUUGGAUAUUGCUAUACUAUUAAACGAGAAAACUCCUUAUAUCGGUAAUUAAAAUUAUAAAUUUUGAAACUCUUUGAUCAAUAGAUCAAUAAUGUCGAAAUAAUUUAAAAUUUGGUUUCUAAAUACUUCAAGUGGCAUAGAUCAUGUUCAAUAGUACCGUUCAUCGAUGUGGAGGUCCCAUCAUCAAAAAUAAAUGGGGGACAAUGAAACCCGUUUGCUACCGAUAGCAUUUCAGCUCGAACCCAAAAUUAUAUAUUUAAUAUCCAAAGUCCGGCCCAAACGUGGUCUAUCGGACUAGGCCAUAUUUAGGCCCGGGCCCAAUUCCACCCCUAGUUUUGAUGGCGAGCGGUGCACGGCCCGGGAUGGCGAGGGUUUUGAAGAAUCCGAAGUUUUAAUGGUGAGCAGUGCGUGGCUCCACGGUGGCUUCUGAUCGCCAGUGGCCGGUCUGGAGGGGGGCGAGGAGGAGAGGAGUAAAGAGGGCUAGGGCAUACUUUGAGCGAGAGUAGAGGCGAGUGUUUUUUGCACGAGUUUUUUUUUUAUCUUUUUAACGGAGCAUGCUUUUUUUUUGGCAAAUAAUACAGAAUUUACGAAUUAUUCGUCAAUAAUAGCUUUAAACUAAAAAAAUAUAAUUUAUUUCGAAUUUUUGAGAAAAAAAAAUAAAUACGAACUGUUUAAUUCAAUUACCAAUAAUUUGCGAAUUAACUAACUAAAUUCUAGCUUCUCUUAUUUUGUUUUUCUUAACUGUGAGAGAAAAACUAAUACAUAUAGCCUAAUAAAUUCCACAUCAGAAUAUCAUGCUUACUUAUCAUAUAAAACUCAUAGUAUGUUUUUAAUAAUUGUAUAUUGGACAAUUACUAAGUAUUCUAUUACUAAAGCAAAAUAUAAAAUUAUUGGCUAUUUUCCAAUUUUGAUCGCCUCUGCAAAUUUCGAUCAUCCCGUAUAUGUGUCCUGCCUUAGUAAGCAUCCAAAUAUAACAUUACCUUUUUAAUUGAGAGAGAGAAUAUACUUUACAUAGAUUUUUCUACUGAUUAACAACAACAAAAUAGAAGUUUUUUUUUUUUUGGUAAAUAUCUAUGGAUCUAUGAAGUUUGAAACCGAAAACUUCCUCACAUUAGUCCAUCACCUAAUAACCAGCCCAAGUGACUCCGGCAUCCACCCUUGCGUUGGCCUCUAUUCAUGUACUCGUAGUACAGCUUAUCCUGGUCCCGGUUCCCAGGCCACUCAGUCUGCCCGGCCGGAUCCACGAGGCCAUCGAUGUACACCAUCCUCGAAUACAGCUUAAUUCCGCGGCCUCCCGAGAUAAAUCCUGGUGCUCAUGGCCUCUCGAGAUAAGUUCUUGUGCUCACAUUGCUUGAACGACUAUCGAACAAUUUCGACUGCCCGGGAUGGGCUUCCGGGCUAUGAUGCUGCAGCGCUGGAAACAACACCGGGUUUCCAAAUAUGAAGUCGAUGGUGCCGUAAAUGUCGCACUCGCGGUAAAACUUGUCAAAUAUAAAAAUGUUUAAAUACCGUUCUUUAACAGUUUAAACUUUUAGAGGACAACGGUUGUUCACAUAGUAUCAGAGCAGGAAGUAAUUCAAACCCAUGUCAUGAUCCGACCAAAAAAUUCCAAGCUCAGAUGUGAAAGAGAGUGUUAAAUAUAAAAAUAUUUAAAUACCGUUUUAUAAAAAUGUGAGAGGGAGUAUAACGAUUGUUUCACAAAACUCCCGUUGACUCAGAGGGCCAGGCCGACGAGGCCGCGUUCACUCGGAGGGCCAUAGCCUGGCCGGCCCUUUGCUGGCCCAGCUGUGUUUCGAGAGCUAAGAAGCCUUGCCCAGAAACUGCUGCGCAAUAGUUGCUAACGUAUUAUAAAGUAUGAAGUUAAUUAUAUGUAAUUUACUUCUAACUGCUAUCAAAACGCGUAGUUAGCAAAAUAGCAAAACGCGUAGCAAAAUAGCAAAACAAGAAACGUUAUAUGUAACUUACUUCUAACUGCUAUCAAAACGCGUAGUUAGCAAAUAGCAAAACAAGAAGCUAUUAAUCUGAGGUUCACGUGACUAAACUAGAUCAGAUAUAUUUCUAUUUAUUUAUUUAACUACAUUAAAGGUGGUUUGUUUAAUUUUUAAUGUAAUAUAUAUAUAUAUAUAUAAAAUUUAAAAUUUUGAUACUUUCAAAUUUUAAAGUUUUAAAUUUAAAAUUUUAUAUUUAAAUUUUAAAUUUUAAUUUUAACUUAUAAUAUUUAUUUUUAAGUUUUAAACAUCCAAAUUUAAAAUUUUAAAUCUCUAAACUCUAUAAAAUUAAUUAAUUAAUUAAUUAUAUUAAUAAUUAAUUAUAUAUAGUAUAAUUAAAAAAAUUUAUUUGUAAGUAUAGUUUUCGUUUUGUCAUGUGGGUGCCAGCACGGUGGGGAGGAAAAAAAAAGUGAAAAUAGUGAAUGGUCACCGCAUUCGUCAAAUUAUUUACGACUUAUAAAAGUGGUAAGUGGUUCAUCACUUUUAAAAAUAGCAUACAAUGACAGAAUGGGAGAGAGAAUGAGAGUAAAAAUUAAUAAAGGUGGUGAACAGACCACUGUCUUUAAAAUAAUUUUUUGAUUUUAAGAUGUGCUAUAAAAGCGAUUAAUGAUUCGUCGCAUUUAAGAGGCCGUUAGGUUGGAUAUAGUUACAAAAAGUGUAAUUGUUGGAAGUAUAUGCUGUUGCAAAUGCUGUAACCAUAAUUACGUCUAAUCUGUUUGGUUUUAUGUAUUUACAACUGUUGCAGUUACAUUUCUUCUGUUUGGUAGGUUGUAAAUUGAGAUUUGAAUUUGUAAAUUCUGUUAAUUUUUAAAUAGAAAGAUGAGAUUAUCUCUUCUGAAUAUAACGUAAUCAUGUUUUAAUUAUUAAUUAAGAAUUUUAUAUCUAUAUAUAAUUUAUAUAUUAUAAAAUUAUAUAUGAAUUUAAUAAAUUUUAAAUGCAAACAUAUUAUAGAUUUCGUCAAGACAAAAAUUAAAAUAUUAUUAAACUAUGAAAAAAAAAUCACACUUUAUUUUUUUUUAAUAGGCGAGUCGAUUCAAGUCCAACAACUGCAGUUGGUUUGGCUGCAGUACCAACUGCAGCAAUUGGGCUUUUUCUUGUAAAUGCAACUGCAAUAGUUGGACCUAAUUAUACCAAACCAAAUAAAAAUUUAAUAGAUGCAUAUAUUUUCAACUGCAGUUGAAAAUGUAUGUAAUAAAACAGCCCCAAAACGCGGUAAUUCAUUUAUUGUUUAUAUUAUUUAUUUUUAAAAAAAUUUAAUAUAGCAUAUUAGAGGUAUAUUUUUAUAAUUACUUUUUUACAAAAAUUAUUUUUGUAAUCCUAAAAAUUGGUAGGAUCAUUUCUAAAAAAAAAAAAUAGUUUAUUUUGCCUUUCCUUUCCAGCUUUGUUACAUUUAUUAAUGUACCUUUAUGUCCUUUCUCUUGAAUGUUUAACAGAUACUUCUGUUGGGUCUUGGUUUCUUUUGGCUUUCAUUUCACUUUUCUUGCUAUCUUGCCUCUCUCUAUAGUUUUGAAAUACAAUUGCCCAUAAUUGUUCAUCUUUUCUUUUUCCUUUUAUUUUAGAUUUUGCUGGAACUUUAUUUACCUGUUUCUCUUAUAUAUAUUUUUUCAGUUUUUUUUUCAGUUAUUAAAAUUUUACUUUAGCUGGAAUUGCCUAUAAAGUUUUAUGCUUUCACUUAUAUGUUUCAAUAAUUACUCUCGUAAUUUUUCAUGUUUUUCAUUUCAUCGAACUUUGUUACGUAAUGCUUCUCAGUUUCUACUACCAUUUGUAAUCGGUUCUGGAUCUUAUCUUAUUUGGCAUCUCUUUUUUUCCCCCUCCCUUUGUGAAACUAUUGCAAGGUAAUUAAUCCCCACAUAUAAUAAAGCUUAAGAUGAAUCACAUGAACCAUUAUAAGGACCCAAAAUUGGCAUGUAAUUACCAGGAUAAUAUAUAUGGUGAAGAAUACACACAAAAAAAAGAAAAACCAAUUUCACAAACCUUCACAGUUAACCAUCUUUUCUAACAUUUGUAGUCAUAAACAUCUUAUACCAUUAAACCUGCUGUGUACUUCACACCAGUAGAGGGUAACCACAAGUUGCCGUCGAUAAACUGCGCCACCGUGAAGUUGACGGCCUGAGCCGAGCUGUUCAUCGCGUGGUAACCUGGCCACUUGACCCGGCCGCCCAAACCUGAGCCUGGUCCAAAGUUCAUGUACUCGCCAUAAAACAACGUGUCGAGCCCGAAUGUUCCAUUCCAUUCGAGCCACCCUUCGGGUCUGAUCACGUUACCGAUGUACGACUGCAUUAUUACCGUUCUCGAGUACUCCUUCCACGGUCGACCCAAGUACGUGUAGGUCUGGUUCGUCGUCGCAUUCGCUAGGAAUGUAGCAGACAAGUCCGAGUCGGCUGACACGUUGCAGAAUUGGAGGGCAAAUCCGGUGUUUUGGUUCGGGUCCUUACGGCCGUGGGCUGUGACGGAGUUCUUCUGAUCCGGGAGGGGUCGACGCACGAAGAUCUGGCAGUUUUGGAAGACGGCAGCAGCAUUGCCGAAGAUGAAGUCGACGGUGCCAGAAAUCCGACAGUCGCGGUAGAAUUGGCGCAGGGAGUGCGCGUAGAGAGUGUCCUGAUAGCCUUCGAAACUGCAACGGUAGAACGCUGAGAGGUCCGAGUCCGACCGCAGCGCCACCGCCUGGUGCUUCGUCGGUCCUGCGGUGUUCUCGAUCGUCAGGUCGCGAGCAAUGAAGCCUUUGCCAGAUACGGCUGCACAUAGCAAAUCAGAAACAAGUAAACAAAACAUUUUAAAUAUUAAAUUUUUAUCCAACUGCAUUAAAUCUGAUCAGUAAUUUUAAAAUUUUAAAUUUACUUUGCGCGUCAAAAUUUUAGUACACCAACCAACAAUUACUUCAAAAGGAAAUGCGUGUGCAUGUGAGGUUGUACAUGUCUGUACAAUCACUGGAUUUUUUUUAUGGCAUUAAAAUCGAUCCCAUCCGUCCAUCAGACAAACAGUGAGGAUGUACAGUGUAUAAAUUAUUAUCUAUUUACACGGUGUUACGGUGCUCCAUAUCGUCGGUGAAUAUAUUAUUAUAUAUUUAGUUGGGAACAAUAUGGACACAAAAAUUAAAAAAUCCAAACCCAAAAAAAAUUAAAAAGAAAGAGAGAAAAAAAAAUCCGGUGAGAAAAGACGAGAUAAUGCGAGUCCCAAGGAAUCCGUAAAGCCACUGUGGUCCCCACGCGUACUGCUAUUUUUGGAUACUUUAAAUUUGACCCAUAGGAUUCACGGGGACCAAGUUUUACCUAUUAAAAUACUUUACAAAAUUACUAUUAUUUAUUUAUUGAUUAAUUUAUUUAUUGAUUUAUUUAUUUUAUAAGUUGUUUUUGAAGGUCUCAUUCCAAAUAUCCCUUCCAUAUAUAGUUAUUAUUAAGUUUUUUUUCUAAGUGUUAAAUUAGUUACUAAAAUGACAAUCAUUAGACUAAAAACAUAGAAUUAUAAUCUUACUAAUGAUUGCUGACUUAAACAGGUCAUUUUGCCAUAUGGCGAAAUGUCAAGAUGGACUGAAUCACGUUCCAAAUAAUGUGAGAUUGGUCAAGUCAAGUCAUAUUUCAAGUGAUAUAAAAUUGGUUGGAUCAAAUUACAAUCGAGAUUCGUAGGUAUUGAAUUGAUUGUCUAUUUUGAGUAGGUCAAGUUUUUAGAAUUAAUGAUUAGCAUCAACUAACAGACAGUGAUGUCUAAUAAUUCUAACCAAAUUACACUAAGUUGAUGUAUAAAUGUAAACUUAGACAAAAUUUUGACUAAUCAAAAUUUUAAUAUAAAAAUGAAAAAAAGUACUGUAAUCAAUGAAUUAUUUAUGAUCAGAAGAAUCUUAGUUGAAAGAGACAGAGAGAGAGAGAGAGAGAGAGAGUGACUGACCGACAGUGGCGCUCCUGAAAGUCGUCCAGCCGUCGAUGAAAUUGCGACUGCCGGUGAUGACCGUCUGCCCCAUGCCAUCGCCCACCAGCAUUAAGUUCCACUUCUUCUUCUUCACGUCCACAUUCUCUCUGUACACCCCCUUCUUCACGUAGAUCACGUACCUCUUCUCGCUCUCCAGCGGCGCCGCCUCCACCGCCGCCGUCACGGUCGUGUAGUUCCCGCUCCCGUCCUGCGCUACCACCGCAUCAGGCGCGAACGCUGAACUAGCAGAUUGGAGAAUUCUCCGCCGCGCCCCCGGUGUCACCCAAUUCGGAAAUCCUUCCACUAGUUUUCGACCGUUGCCGCCGCCGCCGCCACCGCCGGAUGCGGCUGCAGCGAUUUCGGACAAGCCUUCGCCGACGAGGGACGUGAUCAGCUGGAGCCCGCCGGAGACCAGCGAGCCCAGGAUGGAAUCAGUGCCGUCGAAGCCCUCAGUGCAUGUGUCCUGAUCACGCCGCAUUAAAAAAUAUAAAUAUAUAUAUAUUAAAAUACUGUUUUAUGGCAACUUAAACAACGGCCUAGAUAGUAAGUAUUGAGUUAUAUGAAAUAACUAUUUUUUUAAAAAUUUAAAUUAUCAAAAAAUAAUACUUUUAAUAUUUAAUAGAGGUAAGAUAUGAAUUUAAAUUAUAUAAAAAAAUUAAAUAAUACUAAAAAUCUGAUUUUAAGAUCUUCUAUUUUAAUAUCACAUAUAAAAUAAAUAUAAAAUAAUUUAAAAAAAAAAAAAAAGAUUAAGCUAUCACGUACUGCAUUUUUAGUAUUAUUUAAUUUUUUUAUAUAUAUUUAUAUAUAAAGUAUUUUAACACAAGAUUAUCGAUCGAUCGGGUACAGGAGUAUUUAUAUGUAUGUACUAUGUAAGGUGACUCUAUCGUGUCGUCUGACCCAAACCGUGUUUUUUCGUGGUCGUCGAGGUAUUUCGAAGGAUAUAUUUGUGGGUUGAGGGGGAUGGUAGGAGAGGAAUUAAUAUGUAUUGUAAUAUAGUACCGAGGAGGUGGGGGAGAACAACAUUAAUAAGAGGACGAAUGAGAGAAGGAAUAAGAGAGGGGUCGGGAUAGGGAGGGUCGACGAGGGAGAAGAAGAAGAAGGAGGCGGAAGCUUGGCCUUAAGCACGACAGCAGCAGCGACGACAGCUGCGAGGCUAGGUGCCGCCUGCUCUAGCCCUCCCACCGCAGCUACCACAGCAGCAAGAGGCCGUACUAGCCGCCGCCGCUGGAGGCGGAGAGGAGGCGGCAGAGGCUGACGGAGCUGGAGGAGCUGGAGAGGAGGCUGCUCGAGAGGACCUGGUAGAGGCGGAGGGUCUCGUGGUCGUCGUCGUCGUCGUCGUUGUGGUUGUCGCCUCCGCCUCCGCCUCCACCUCCGCCGUGGCCCUUGGCGGCGAGGCUGGAGGCGAGGACCGAGUCGCGGCGGGAGCCGUUGGUCCACGCACGGGUGUUAUUGGCAAUGAGAGAUUUUCGAAUUCGUCGGUAGAGGAUAGGAAUCGCGUUUAUCGCUUUUUGAAUCAUCAACUAUAAGCUCUAAGGUUUAAAGUUAAGAACAACUAAAUAUAAAAGUUGAUUCAAAUAAAAACUUUUUUUUAUCUGCUUCGUCAUCGAUGAGAGAUAAAGUCAAAGCGCCCGUUUUUAUGGAAGGCACGUCAUUGUUUUUUUUCACUAAUUUUUAUAUAUAUUAUUCUAUUUUAAAAAACACUAGGGCGGUUUUUAGCUUUUUGGAAAGAGUAUCACAAUCCAUCAAAAGCGAUAGGUUAUUUGAAAUAAGUUGUAAAAAAACAAUGNCAUAAUCAAAAAUUUGAUUUUUAUAAGGGACCAUUUGAUUAAGAUAUAAUUACAAAUACAGUUAAAAAUGUAGCAGUUAUAAUUAUAUAUAUCUUAUUUGAUUUGAUGUAGUAGAAAGUGUUGUAGCUAUAAAUAAUUUAUUUCGCUGAAUGCAGUUUGAUAAAUAAAUUUUAAAAUUUUAUCAUUGUAUAUAUAUAAUGGUAAGAUUAAUUACUCUAAUAUUGAAAAAAUAUAUUUUUAUUUAAAAAAUAAUUAAGAAUAUAAGUUUAUCUUUAAUUUGCUUAAAGUUACGCUCUCCAAUUGUUGCAGUUGAGCUUCCUUCUGCAGUUUCUACUACAGCAGUUUGAGUUAAAUAUAUCAAAUCAAACAACAAAUUUGCAUUUACAUAUAAUUAUAACUGCAGUACAGUUGUAAUUAUAUGCAACCAAACAGUCUCUAAGAAUUGUGUUAGCAUACAUUAUUUGAUAAUACAUGAGUAAUAUUUAUUAUCAAUAUUUCUAUCAUUAAAUUAUUGUUAUUUCAUCUGCCUCCACUAAAUUUUAGAUAUUUAAUUGCCAACUUUUUGAUAAUGAAUAUUAUUUCAUACCUUAUUCUAUCUUGACUAUUUUUAUAAUUAUCUUAUAUUUCUGUAUUUGGUUUAAUAUAGUAAUAUAAUAGGCAAGUCAUUGCUGAGCUAAGAACGAAGAAUUAGUUGAGUGCAGGAUGGAGAUCUCUCUGAUUGAAAUGAAGUAGUGAGAAAAUAUUUUUGAGAGAAACUAAUCCUCUAAGCUAUUAAUAAUUCUGUAUUGCCGAAAAUACUACAUGUGAAUAAACAAAAUAUAAUAAUUUUAAAAAUUUUCUGCAGUAUAUAACAUAAACAGAGUAUGCCUUAAGAUUCUAAGGUUUUGUGGAAAAGCUUUUCAUACAAUUUUUUCUUUCCAUUUUUAUGUAUUUGUAUUUUAAUUUUUUUUGUGAGAAAAUUAUCAAAUUCUUAAUCAAUUAAGUUCGCUAGGUGUCGUAGGUACUAAUUAUUAUUGAAGGCUUUUAAUAUAUAUAUAUAGAGUGAGGCUACUAUGCUAUCGGAAGCACGGAGCCUUCCGUGCUUCCAACUCGUUUUCGAUGUUGCGACUUUCGAAUCGUCGAUCGGCUCCGUUAAACUUGAUCUAGAGUAUUUGAAGUACCUAGAAAAUAAAUUUUAUUAUUUUUUGAUAUCAUUUGCCUAGUGAUCGAAUGAGCUCAAAAUCAACAAAUUUUAAUGGCCGUAGUGAGCUGUUUGCAAGUUUAACGGUGUAGAAAUAUCCAAAUCACGUGAAAUUUUGAUAGAAAAUUCUUUAUACUAUAUAAAACAAGAUCAAUAUCUUUGAUUUAAAAUUUUAAUUUCAUAAUUAUUACAUUUUGUAAGAUUUUUAUUUUCAGCGUUGAUUUAGCCCCUUCGUUCACUAGGCAAAUGAUAUCGUAAAAUCAUAAAAUUUAUUUUCUAGGUAUUUCAAAAUCUCUAGAUCAAGUUUAACGGAGCCAUUGACGAUUCGAAAGUCGCAACAUCGAAAACGAGCUGGAAGCACGGAAGGUCCGUACUUCCGGAUAGCAUAGUAGCCUCACUAUACUAGAUAUAUAUAUUAUUAUAUAUAUAUAUAUAUAUAUAUUAUAUAAUAUAUAUUAUAUAUAUAUUAUAAUAUAUAUAUGCUUUAUUAGAGAUCAUGGUUUUGGCAUGUUAUAUUUGCAUUAUUAGUUGAUAAUAGUUACCCAAUUAUUAUUUUUUUUAUGAACCUAGCUAUCUAUUUACGCGAACACUCUACAAAAUAAUCAUAUCAUGGAUUUCUCUAUUUAAUUAUGAGGAUUAUUCAUCUGAUCAAAAAUAUUCAAUUUUUUUUUCUAUUUUCCACAUUGAGUUCUAACUAUUUUCUUUUUUAUAUUGAAUCUUUAAUAGCUAUUUGGUUUGUGUGUUUCAAUAGAGUUUUUUCUAUCAAAAUAUAUAUACGUAUUAAUUCAAACAAAUAUUAGAAACUACUUAUUGCCAAAAGGAUCCAAACCUAUUAAUUAAUUCUUUAUUUUUUAUUUUUUUUUUAUUUUUUUCUUUAUUGGAUGAAUGGAAAUUGUUAGCUGUGACGCAGAGAUAUCUUAUUUAUCUUUUUCCCUAAAAUAUACCUUCAAAGAAAGCGACAUUUCAUAUUAAUAUUGUGGUACUUAACAAUUUAUCGAAUUAUAGGCCACAAAAAAGUUUGACACUAAAUGAUGUCUCAAUUAUUUUAUCUUUUAACAUUUUUUAUAAUUUAUUCUUUAGAGAAAAAGAACGUGCUAUUUAUUUUAUUUAUUUUUUAAAAAUUAAACUAAAUUAUGAAAUAAAGUAAUUAGUCUUCAAACUUCGUUAAAUAUUUUACCACUUGCGCUAUGACCAAUCAAUAUAUUUUAAUAUCUUAUUGUAUCUUUUAAUCAAUCUGAUUAGUUGUUGGUGUUGUUCGUCAGUGAAAAUGUUUCCUUAAUUUUUGGCUAAUUAAAAAGCCAGAGAUUGUUUUAAUUGUUCGGCGAAAUCAUAUUCAAGGUAUGGAAAAGUUUAAUUAGUCGCAAGCAAAAUUUUUGUAAACUACUAAUUAAAAUGUUAUGUCACAUUCGAACUAUAGAUUCAAAGUAUGGGUUUAGGAUUUAGGAGUUAAAAUUUAGAAAGGAUUAAUUAAUUACAUUAAUCAUGAGAUACGUACACAUUAUUUAUUAUGAUGUUGUACGAGAGAGGGUUGUGGGAUCUACCCCUUGUGGGAGACAAAAUCACAUGUAAUGUUGCAAAUUUGGUGGCUUGUCACCCUUAUUUAUUUGACCAGUUCAAAUUAGAUUUUGCACAUGAAAUUUUUAGAAUUUAAUUUGAAAAUCUCAAAAAUAACCUCCAUAUGAUUUGUAAUGUUCAAAUUCAAAUCAAUUAAAACAAUGGAUUGCUAUUAUGCAUUCUAUAUUUUGCGUACUGAGUUGUGAAAAAGAGCGUCCAUAUAAAUCGAUAUUGUAUGCUUAUAAAAAAAUAAAAAAUUAAAAAAUAAUUGUUAUUUUUCAAAAGUUUGAGCCGUUCGAAUGAUUCUCUUUCUCACGUCUCAUGCCAAUAUGCGGAAUAAUAAAAUAGGAUAAAAUUAAAUAAAGUUAAAAUCUAAUGGGAUUCAUUGAAAUCUUAUACUAUAUACAAAAAAAAUAAAUUAAACAUUUAUUUGUUCUAAAAUUUUAAACUGUCAAAAAAUAUGUCUAAAUCUUAUAAUCUAGUCUUUGAAAGACUAAAAUUUAAUCACUUGUCUUAUUAUUUUUUUUAAUACUAAAAUUUGAAUGAGAAUUUUAAAUCUUUAAGUUAUUGUGUACAUUGUUUUUCAUUCAAAGGAGCAGGAACUCCAAGCUCCACACAUUCAAAUCAAUAUUUUCAUGCAGUAAUAAAAGACACAUUCAAAUCAAUAUUUUCAUGCGGUAAUGAAAGAGAGAGAAAUGAUGAAGAUUUGCUCAGUAUCUAAUCUAGUUACCGCAAAAAUAGAUAGAAAUUAUUUUAAAAAAAGAAAAAACUUUUAUUUGGGAGAAAAUUUGGCUCGCAGAGGACGGAAAAUCAUAUCAUAAUUAAAACCAAGAUAAAAUUAAGCAACAUUAUAUAUAUAUAGAGAGAGAGAGAGAGAGAGUAAUUAAUGCUACUAUCCUCUUAUGAAUAUAGAAUUCUUCGUACUCGUAAGUUAUUUUUAAUGAUAUAACGAUUUAGAAUAUUUGAACUUCUAAAAAAUAAAUUUCGUAAUUUUUUGAAAUCAUAAUGAAAUCCAUCAAUUGGGCAUAAAAUGAACGGUCAAAAUUGAAUGACGUUCUAAAAUAAAUGAUCGGAUCCUUCAAUUUAAGAUCGGAGUUAUUUAUCAUUAUCUAGGUAAUGAAUAAAAUUUUUUAUAAAAAAUUCAACUAAUUCCGAUUCUUUUGUACUGUUAAACUAAUAAGUAUUUCAUACCGGCCGUUAAAAAUUGUCAAUUUUGAAGUAUUUUGAUCGCAAGAUAAAUAAUAUCAAAAACUAUAAAAUUUAAUUUUUAAAAAUUUUAAAUGCUCUAGAUAACAUUUAGGGCCCGUUUGGUUCGAGUUAUGUAAUAUUAUAAAGUAUCUCGACAUAUCCAGGUAUCUUGGAUUUCGGCGUGAGAUUACUACUGAUGCUGCAUUAGAGUGUUUGGUUUAAUACAGUAAUGUAAUACUAGAUUAUAGUGUUUAUAGUAUUAAUAUGUUUGGUUUAGUUUAUAAAAUUUAGAAAUCCUGACAUAAAAGUAUAGUUUUUUUCAAAAUUGCCCUUGUUGUGGUCAUUUGAAUAUUAUUUUUUGCGAAAAUGACGAAUGGAGGGAAGGAGAUCGUGAUGAUUACUUGGGAGGACGACGCAAUAGAAGAUGAUAGGUGUACGUGCGCGCGCGCGAGAGAGAGAGAGAGAGAGAGAGAGAGACGUCGAGAGAGAGAGAGAGCGAGAGAAAGCGGCGUGCAAGAGAGAGGGCCGGGGGGAAGGCGAGAGAGAUGAAAAUAAUGCUGUUAAUUAGAUUUGGGGUUGUUGGAGGGUAAAAUUGUCAUUUUACAUAAUAGGUAGUAUUAACGGAUUUCAGUAAUGCAAGAUACACGAUCCCCCUCUCGUUAAUAUUUUCGAUGUAAUCCUACUCGAUUUGUAAUGCUAUAUUAACGACUAGAUUAUAUAGCGGAUUAACCAAACACAGUUAUCCUGGCAGGAUUGCCUGUAAUCCUGCUAGGAUAACUCCAACCAAACGCAUCCUUAACGAUAUGGAUCGUUAAUUUCGAAGCUCUAUUAUUGAAAACAACUUAUGAGUAGGAAAGCGAUCGUACUCGUAAAGUAUAGUAUAGCGGGACUCUCUCUCUCUCUAUAUAUAUAUAUAUGUUACGAAAAUUCAAAUAUGUUACGUACCCUUACGAGCCGUAAUAUAAUGAUACGUUAACUAACAUACUAUUCCCAUGUAUUGUUGAUUUAUUUAUACAAUAGAGGGGCACCCAAAGCAUGACCCUUGUUUAAACAGAUAAUACUAUAAUUAGCAUAUUUAUUCAAGGAAAUGGUUACUUUUACUCAAAAAAAUUGUAUAAAUAAUAAUUAAAUAAAUAUAUGUAAAUAUAUCAUGGAACGCGUAAUGCAUGCACUUUUAAGCUGGACCGUGUGGGGCCAUUUAAUUUGUGGUAGGGGUUUUGGCUUUUACUUCAUUAAAUUGUGAUCAUGUGUCUCUUUGUAUCAUACCAUAAAGUUAGGGUUGGGAAUGGUGUGACAAUGAACCAUUUUUUUGCCCACCAUGCAUGGCUUUGCCCUAGCUUAGCAAAUGAAGAUUUUUUCUAGUAAUGGACACACACUUUGCUUUCUUGAGGACCUUCCCCAUGUGAUGAGAGGGGCUUUCCACUUGUCGCACUGCUUUUGCUUUCAGCAAUAAUUUUUAUUAGAACUGAGAUUAAGUAUAUCUAAAAGUGUAACGCUUUUGCUGCAUGAGAAACUAAAGUGAGACAGUUUAAAUGGCAGAAACUUCGAUUUAGUGGUCGGUUGUGGUUCAAUUAUUUAGAACGGUUGUUAAAAAGAUUUUAAUAUAGUGGUUUCACAGCUAGGAUAGUUCUUUUUCAAACGAUAUUGUUUAGUGAUGAGAGAAAAACUCGACAUAUUUACCAACGUCGCAACUGCAUAAGAAGUGAUAGCUAUUAUAGAAAUUUAUGGAUUAUAACUUCGAUUUUGUUUCUUCUUUUCAUCUUUUGAAUCUUUUUUAAGAUUAUAUGUAAAAUAUAUGACUAAAAUAGAUAUAUAAUUAGGGAUUUCAAUUGAAGAGAGCGAGAGAUGCCUAUUAACUAUUUUAUUAAGGGAUUUAAUUGACAAAAUUGAAAGUUUAGGCUAAACAAUUGGGGGAAUUCUAUACAUCUUUUCCUUAUUUUAAGAGACGGUUGUCAAAGUUUAUGCAAUGAAAGCUUAUUCUAAAUAGCAGAAACUACAAUAUAAUUAAUACAUCUGAAAAUUUAGAAAGUGAAGUAUGAGAAAGGCGUAGGCUAAUUGAGUCAUAGUAUAGUAUACCGUUGAUAUUUAGAACAGUUCACUGGUAACCUCAUCUUUAGAUGUUAAGUAUUGAGGUUUCAUUCUGUUAUAUGCGAAAAGAGUGCAUGCGUGUACCCUUCGAAAAGAGGUCAAGUAUAAUACAUUUGAAAAUUCAGAAAGUAAAGUACGAGAAACAUAUAGGAUAUAUAAUUAAGUCACUGUAUCGAAUAUCAUCGAUAUUUAGAGCAGUUUACCGACAGCCUUCUCUUUAGAUAUAUAUUAGGUCUCGAGUUUUUAUUCUGUUACGUGUGAAAAGAGUGUGAGUAUGUGCACCUCGAAAAGGAGGUCAAAUGCCUUGAACUGGAAAGUGAGAAUAGCUAUUCUCUCUUGCCCACUAUUCCACAUUUCUAAUUCUAUGCUUAUCUUCUACUCUGCUCCAUAUAUAGAGAAUAACUUAUUCUUAUGCAAGAUCUCAUUUUAGUAAGAAACAAAACAAAUUAAACCCAGGAGAUCGAAUCACGUACAUUGUCCCACACAAUCAAUGAGGCUAAUUAAUUUGUUGUAACUUGAUGCUCGAACUUUUAAAAUUAUUGUAAUUAAGUUCUGCAGUCUAAUUUAAUUGACUAGAUAUUAAUAUAUUAUUAAUACAAUAGUAAUGUAAUAUCUUAAUUAUUAUAACAUCGUCAACUAUAUAUAGCGUUACUUCCUCAGAACAAAAGCGUCACGUUCCUCAUAGUGUGAGAACCAAAAAUAUAAUUUAGCCAAAUUAAUGAUGAUGAUUAAUAUUUAACACUCUACCUUGAGAUAUAUCCCUAUUAACUCGCCAUUAAUUGCUUAUGUUCCUUCAUUAUUAUUAUUAUUAUUAUUACUUAAAGAAUAAAACUCCAACACCUCACCUUAUCCAUGAACGCGUGGAAUAAAUCUCCCUUGUUCAUUUUUUUUUUGGUUUUUAACACCUUGCAUUAAAUUCCUCACAGCUUGAUCUGUCUCCCCAACCAACCAUCUUAAAUGGCUCGAACCCAAGCUCGUGGUAGGGUCACAUCAACACGAUUUAUUUUUUUUUGAAACAAUAGAAUAAUUUGUUUCUCUUAUUAAAUGAUAUUUUGUCCAUUGGGAUUAUACUUGAAUCUAAUUUUGGAUUGAGCCAAGUGGGAGUUGUUGUUCCCUUUAUUGAUGUGUCUAGUUGAUUUGAUAGUACACUUGAGAUUUCAUAAAGGGGGAGAGAUUUGCUUCAUAAUUGCGUGAUUUAUAGAAGACUUAAUUAAUUCUCACCAACAUUAGAUAUAGUAGUUAAUUUGAUCAGAUGCUAUUUAAGAGCAAAAGAAAAAUGAAAAAGAUAUUGACAUAUAUAUAUUUUUAAUUGAAAUUAAUCAAAUUUACAAAUUAGAAACUCAUUGAAGUGGUGAAAUGCCCUAGUUAGUAAAUUCACGAAUUAUUCUCGAAUUAUUGAAAAUUCAAAUUAAACGGUCCGUUUACGAAUUUUUUCGAAAGAAAGAGAAUUAUUCACGAAUUUUUGGGCCAGCCGAAUUAUUCGCGAAUUAUUGCGAAAUUUUUAAAAAUAUGAAUAAAAAACUUAUAAUUUUAUUUUUAAAUAUAAAUUAUUUUAUAUUUUAUAUCUUAUAUUUUAUAUUUUAUACCAAAUUCAUUUUUUAAGUCGAAUUUUUCAACAAAUUUAAAAAUUAGAAAAUAAAUUUUAUACGUAUUAUAUCUGUACCGAAUUUUUGCCGAAUUCGAAUUAACUAACUAUUAUGUUUUACCUUGUGAAUUGUGAAAAGCAUUUUGAGCCAUAAAUGAGCCUCAAAAGAACACCCUUUUAGGGCACUCUUUCAUCUGAAUUAAUAAUUAAUUUGAGUGGGAAUCCAUGCAUGCACUAUCAUUGUAUUGAUAAAUUACGUCGCUCGAGGAAUGAGAUGCUUUUCACGAAAUUUGAUGCUCAAUCCUUUUGAGAGAGGAAUUAAUAUUAAUAGGAUUUUCUUUUCUUUUUUUUUUUUUUUUGUAUAUUGUUGAUGACUCAGCAAUUCUAUUCAUCAGAAUUUGAUAAAAUCUUUCGGGUAUCCAAAGUAUUAUUACAAAAAGUGAAAACGGUGGCUUUAUUUUGUUGAUACGUGAAAAUAAACAACCGUUAAAAUAUCUGAUCGGCAUUCAGUGACGGGCUUUAAAAGGUUCCGUGAUCAAACUCAAAACCUUUUACUGUACUUAGGCUAUAGCAUCGUUUGAGAUUGUGAGAAGAUUAGAUUACAAGUGGUGAGAAAAUUCGAUAACAAAAUACUCUGCUGUUCUUGUACACAAUACCGUGUUCUGCAUAUUGCAGUGAGUCAGUUAAAAUAUAAUUUUACUAUCCCACCGUAGAAUAUAGAAGCAUAUUUUUAUAUAUUUUUGCGUUAACUUUAUUUUAUCUAGUGUUAGAUGAACCUUAAUACCGAACGGGCCCUUAAUCCAGGAUUUGGAAUCAGUUUUCUGAUGGGCCAUUGGACUUGUUUUAAAACAAAUUUCAGAUGUUUUGGAUAUGAGUGGCCCGUUUGGGCCCAUUAGGCUUGGCCCAUUCACAUAAUUGUUGAGCAAAUAUGGGUGGUUUCAAAUUAACUAAAACGUUAGGGGCUUAUGUGAAAACUUGGUAGGUCUAGAAUGUCGUACGGUAUAUACACUUGUACCUGUAACUCGCUGUACGCUGUGCGUCGGAAGACUCUGGAUCCUUCCAUCAAAUCCAUCUAAGGCGCUCGAUCUACCGUCCGAUCGUAAAUGGACGGUCACGAACGCGUCAAUAUUGUCACAUAGCACCACCCCUUCCUCCUCCCCUUCACAAUUAACAACUCUCUCUCUCUCUCUCUCUCUCUCGUCUUUCUCGCUCUUCACCCACCCCCCCAAAUCCCGAGAAGCGUCCGAUCCCGAUCGCUCCUCCGCCCUCGGAUCGAUCACCGCCGUCCAAGGCCCCUCCUCGUCGGAGAUCGGCGACAGGUUCCCCCUCUAUUUGCGAUCUCGAUUCGUUGUUAGCGUUAUCAUCUGAAUCCAUGUGAGGACAAUUUCUUGAAUCGGCUUUGCCCUAGAUUCUUAUACCUCUCGUUCGUUUCAUUUUCUCUUUUGAAUCGCAUGUGUAAUGCGUAAACUUUGGAAAAAUUGUAUUUAGAGUGGGAAUUGUGUGCUUCUGUUAGGGUUUCUUCAAGCAAUUUGUGUUCUUUUUGAUUACUACGAAGGAUAUACUCUUAAAACUCUGCGAAUUUGGGUCUAAAUGAGGUUCGAUGUUUAAAAUUUAGUCUAUUUUGCAGAAAAAUUGAGAUCAAAUAGGGGUUUUGAGGGGUUACUUGGAGGGUUAAAGUUGUGGCUUUUGUUCACGGGACCGGAUAUUGUCAAUGGCGGAGAGGGGUUGUGUUAAGCGCCUUCAAAGGGAGUAUCAUGCCCUAUGUAAGGUAUGAUCAACUCUUUUUCCAUGCGAUUACUUUUGAUUAUUUUAAGGCUUUACAGUUUUAUUUUGCAAACCCUAGAUGGAAUCUCGACCAAUGACCAUAACGUGGGUCGGACUCUCUGAACUCUGUGGAAAGCAGGGUUUUACAAGCUUUACUUUUAUAAAUUUAUGCACUUCUGCUUGUUUUAGUUGCAAUUCACCACCUUUUUGAUAGGGAUCGGUAAUUUUUUAGUUAUAGCCUUCCGUUUUGGCGUAAGGUUGUGCUUUUCUUUUGCGAAAUGUUCAUGGAAUUUGACAAACGAACCCUAACGUGCAUCACACUUUCUGAAAUUUGCGGAAAACUGAAUUGUACAAGUUUUAUGCUUAUAAGUUUUUGCACUCAUGCCUUGUUUUAGUAGUAGUGCAGUACCUUUUGAUGAGGUGCUAUGCUUUAUGCUUCUAUUUGAAUAAUGUUACUUCAUCAUUUGCAAUAUUUGCAGGAGCCGCCACCUCAAAUUGUUGCUCGUCCUUCUCCUAGUGAUAUUCUUGAUUGGCGUACGUAUGCUCUUUCAUGAUUCCCCAUAUGCUUUCCAUCAUUGUUCUUGCCAUUCAGAUAUGUAUUUGUAGUUUUGAAAUUAUAUACACAUCAAGAUUCAAGUAUCCUUAUUUGAGAUUUUAGAGGUUCGAGUUCUAAGAUUGCUUGUGUAAAGUUUGAUAUGACGGUUGGUUGUAAGCUUGGUAUUGCAAAUAUUUUUUUUUGUGUGAAACUCAGUAUAGUUUUACCUGUGCUUUUAUUCUUAGAAGCCUUCAGACAGAAAUACUGCUUAGAUAUUCUUGUCACCUUUCAAAUUGGUGCAUCUUGAGCUGUUCUUUAAUUUUAAGUGGAACUCAUUAUUCCUUCUUCUCUCUCUCUCUCUCAGAUUUUGUUCUUGAAGGAAGUGAGGGCACACCAUUUGCAGGUAAAAUAGGGAACAUAUGUCAAGUCCAAGGUCUAAAUCAUUGGUUUCAAUUUUUUCUCCACAUUGAUGCUUCCUUUCGACAAAUUUGUGAACUCUCGAUUUGGUUUAACCUGUUGACGAGAAGAGUCUUAAGGUUUUCUUCAAAGGAAAUCACAUUUUCAACCUAAUUAUUGUAUUUGAUUGAAAAGGAUGCUUUUUGGUCAAAAUUUAUGGAAACCGGCUGAAAGUGGGCAAAGAUGGCUCAAACCGUGAAUUUCGAAAUGCUAAAUGUCCCAAAAUUUUACAUUAGUUUUGCUUGGAACUAUCAAAUUUCAGCUGAAACUUAAAUCCUUUUAGUAUAUUGCAGUAAAUGGUUGUGAAUUUUCAGAUUAUUGCCAUUUUUCUUACUUGGUGUUAUGUGUUAUUUAUUGGUGUCCUCGCGGUAGCUUUUUUUAAUUAAAUUUGUUGUUAGCAGAAAUACAUACUUUCAUUUUGCUUUGUUUUGAAAGUUCACAUGCUUGACUGUAUAUAUAUGUAUUUUUUGUUGAUUGGCAAUGAAGGUGGGUAUUACUAUGGAAAACUUAAAUUUCCACCCGAUUAUCCAUUCAAACCUCCCAGUAUCAGGUAAUAUUCCGUACACCUGUUUUAUUGUAAAUAAUGUUAUUUUAAGUUCUUCCACUUUUCUAAUAUAAUUUUUCUUGGCAUUUCUCUCUGGGUUAGUAUGAUUACUCCCAAUGGACGAUUUGCCCCUCACAAGAAAAUAUGUUUAUCAAUGAGUGAUUGUAAGUAUGAACAGUAUUGCAUGUUUGUUAAUCUGGUGUGUUAUGGAACUUGUAGACCUAAUUUUGUUUCUCCUUUCAUUCAGUUCAUCCGGAGUCUUGGAAUCCAAUGUGGUCUGUAUCAAGGUAAGAGUAACUAAUGAAGUUUGUGUAUAUGUAUCUCGAUAUGUGUAAAGUUUUGCUUUUUACAAUCACAAAUAUCUUGUCUCAUGAUUCUGACUUCUAUUUGUUGAUGCAGCAUUCUCACGGGACUUCUGUCCUUCAUGGUGAGUUUCUUUUCUCAUCACCUCUGUUGGCUUUAACCAGACCAACAUCUUUAAAGCAUGGGUACAUGUAUAUUAUACCUUUCCAUCUUGAUUUAUUAUGUAUUGGUAAGAGUGUGUUAUCUUUGGCCGGGAUGUAAAACUUGUGUCAUUUUAUUCCUACCUUUAUCCUUUCAUUCUGUUUGCAGCAUCUGAAAUGAUAAUAGUUACGAUUUUUCAGCUACUUACAUUUAGAGCCCUGAUUUGUAUAAAGGCUGCUGUGACAUGCACCGUAGCUCCAAAAAGUUGGGAGUUGGAACAGAUCUUAGAGGAGUUCUAAGCAGAGGUUCUUGUACAGAGUUUUUCAUUCAAGUCUGAGAUGUUUGGUUAGAACGUUUCCGUGGUUUGAGAAAUCUAUUGUGGUUCUGUUGGCAGAGUUAAGGACUGAAAGACUUGGGACAUAAUUUUUUGAAUUCUUUGUCAAGACAAUCAUUACUCCCUGAAAGAAACCCUGGAUUGAAUUGAAGUGUCUUCAAGUCUAGCAUCAUAGAACCACAGCCAAUGCUUUUUAUUGAAAAUCUGUUUCUUUCAGUACUAUUAAUACAGAUGAAAUAUGAAGAACCUGCUCUCUAUCUUUCUCUGUAUCAAAUUAUUGAUUUCCUGACUUUUCAUUCUGAUGCUUGUGCAUAUAGAUGGAUGAUGGUCAGACCACUGGUAGCAUUAGGACAUCAGAUGAUGAGAAGCGGCGAUUAGCUAAGGAUUCACUUGCUUACAACUGUGAGAGGUAAAUUCUUUCAUCUUAAUAUUUAUUUGUUCCAUGAUGUGUCUUGAUACUUUCAUAGCUCUCUAUGGCUUUUCUUCCUAUUAUUACCUAAACAUGUAAUGUACAUGUUUCUGAGAGGUCAAUUUCAUUUAAUGCUGUCUCCUUGCAUAUUCAUGCUAAUAUAUGCACCAUGACAUGCCUUGAUAUUUGUACUUCUGUACAAGUUUUCCUUCAGGUAAUUGUCACGCACUAAAUAAUAAGUAUAAGAAGAAUAUUUCAUUUUAAUAUGCGUGAGAUUGUAGGUCUUUAGAAAGGCAAUCACAUUUUUAAUGCUGUAUCUUGCUUUAUUAAACCAUCAUAAUUAUGCUACUUGCAGAAUAUUAUAGUGGCUAGGAGAAAUUUGAGGUUUGUUUAUUCUCUUUGAUGGGUGUUAUUCUACCCCAUAGGUAGCACUUUCUCGCAUGCAAUCAAUUUAGUUUUGUUUCAUUUUCAAACAUUUUCAGUAUUUGAUUGAACUAAAAGUAAAGUGGCAAAAAGGCAAAAAUUGUUGAUUUCAGCUGAGGAUGAAAUAAUAUUCGGUGAGAUAAAAUCGUAAUCUGGGUGAUGCUAUUCGAAUAAAAUUGCAGUUUAGCCAUGGCAUAAAGGGUGCCUUGCCUUUCUUUCUUGGCCUAAGUUACUCUGUAUUAAAGGAAAUAUAAGUUGGUAACGAACACCCCCUGUCGGAAGAAGUGAGUCAAUGAAUCUUCCUUAAUGAAUCUUCCUUUCUUUACACAAUAGGUGAAGUGCAUAUGAUGAUGCAUUAAGCUUGGUUGAGUUAUGUAUUUUUAAGCGUCCAAUUCAACCUAUAAAUUGUGGAUAAUUGAUUGAUUGCAAUGUAUCAUCCGAUGCAUCACAUUCUGUGUAAUAUCUCUCUAUCAUAGAAGCGCCUAGCAGACUGACGUUUCUAUGUGCCAUAACUUAUCUUGCAACUAAAAUGUUAACGUAACCUUUCACCUGUCGGAAUCAACAGCAAAAACUGCCCGAACUUCAAGAAGCUGUUCCCGGAAUACGUAGAGAAGUACAGAGAACAACAGGUGCCAGAUCACCAUCCCAUGCCACCGCCGGUGCUUCCGGAGAAUGCGGCACCCCCUCCUCCCCCCGCAGUCGUGCGAGCUCCGGUGGUUGCGGACGAAGAUAGGCGAGUACUAAACAACAAUAACGCUGGCAAGAGGAGGCAGAAAACGCAAGUGCCCUUUUGGCUUCUGCUUCUGUUGAUAUCGGUGUUCGGCGUGGUAAUGGCCUUGCCCCUGCUGCAACUCUGAUAAUGCCCUCUGCCCUCCGCCCUCCGGAUAGUAAUAUCUUAACGGCGGGGAGAACGUUUUUCAGUACAAAAUUACGGAUCCCUAGAUUUGUCUACCUGCAGAAUUUUGUAUAGUUAGUUCGUUCUGGAGUGGUCGAACCUUGUGCUCGCCUUCGUUGGGUUUGUAUCUCAUCUUGACGAACUCAGAUGAAAUAUGUCAACCGCCUUCCUUAAUCUUUCGUCUCUCCGAUUAGCUGCAUGAUGGAACUGCUUUUUUGUCGACUUUUCUUCGAGUAUCGUUACUAGUGCCUUCAUAUUGAGUUGUCAAGAUCUAUCAACUACCUCAUUAAGAAUGCUGUAAUUCAAAUUUGUUCAGAUUGGGUAAUUAUGAAUUGCGGAGUGCGAAGCCCUUGCAGUUAUUCACGGUGAACGCAAACAUUUGAAUUGUGUGUGGCGUGUUAUCAGGGAAUCCGUAAAUAAAAAUUUGGACCUGCAAUGUUGAGGUAUCUCCACAAACACAUCCUGGGCAUAAGAACUUAAAAAGUUGCAGCGCGAUAAAUGGCGGAUCGAUCGGCGUUACGAAGGAGACCGACCAUUUUCAUCAAAUUUUUAUCAAAAUUAAAUUUUGUGUGGUAAACAGUGAUAGAUCAUCCAUUACGGAAUAAAUUUAAAACAAAUUAUGCGCAAUAAUACAAGCUUAUAAUAGGAAGCCAAAAGAAGGAAAUAAAUAAAAGAAAACCUAGCUGUACAAUUUUGCAUCGACUGCUGCUACUACUGCUACAUCUCUCGCAGUCGAUUCCUCCUCUUUUUGAAUCAAAAUAAUCGACCAAAAAAACCAAAAAAAAAUUUCAAAAAAAAAAAAAAAUGAAAAUAAAAGAAAAUAAAAAAUUCUGGCGAUCGGCGAGCAACCAAUCCGUCUCAGAACCCCCUCAUCAACAUGCACAUACUAAUAGUAAUAUUAUUAUGUUUUUCCGGAAUAAAAAUCCCAUCUUUUUCCCCCGAACCUCUCCCUUCCUCCUCCCCGGAAACCCUAAUCCUAACCCUAACCCUAGCUCGUCGGCGUCCUCGGCGUCCUCGGCGUGGCCGCUCCUCCGACGGUACCCUGCUCGAUGUCGCCCCCUCUAGGGCUACACGACGACCCCAUCGCCUGUUUCCCACGGCUCAGCAGCCUCCUCAGCGACCUCAGCCUCGCCGAGCUCGGCGGCGGCGGCGGCGGCGACUUCAUCUCCUCCGCCGACAUCCGGCUCACGGGCAAUGGCGAGAUCGGCGAGGGCGGCCCCCCCAUGGCGCGCCUCGGGAUCUCGAUCACGAGCUCCCUAGUCCUCGACGACGAGGGCUCGGACGAGCUCGGCGAGUUCCCCGCGUUGAUCCGAUCCUGCGUGCCCCAGAAGAGCACGUUGGUGGGGAAAAUCGGCGGCUCCGCGGGCUCCGGCGCCGGGGCUCGGGCGGAUUCGGCGCCGGCCUCGGCGGGGCUCGGCGAGGACUCGNUUGGGCAGGAGCCGCGCCUCCUCCCCCUCCGCCACCUCGCACAGGCACACGGCGCACUCCAGCGCCUCCUCCUCCUCCUUCCCCGCCCCCGCGCCUCCGCCCCCGCGGCGCCCGACGACGACGACCGGGAGCGCGGCGAGGGCGGCGGGGUCGAGGCCGCGGCGCGCGGGCGCGCCCCCCCCGAGGUCGGCUGCGAAGACGAGGCGCGUCCCGGAGCGGCCGCGGCGGAGGGGGUUGGGGCCGAGGUAGCGCCUCGCGUAGAGGUAGAGGAAGAAGACGAACACCACGACCAUGAACAGGAACACGAUCGCCGCCACCAGGAUCUCGCUGCUUAUCGUCACCGCCGGGGACGGCUCUCCCGCCAUCUCCGGCACCGUCGGCACCGUCGGCAUCGUCGGCACCGUCCUCAUCGUCGGCAUCGUCGGCAUCGUCGGCCGCGGGAUUACCAUCGCCUGCCGCGACAUCGCCGGUGCUUCGCUCAAGCCAAAAAAGGUGCGAUUUUUACCGACCCCUUCCCCUUCAAAAUUGGAUUUUUGUGAUCGAUCUCACUCAAAAGGCUCGUAAAAAAUUUGGAUUUUGAGACGUUGGUUACUCGAAAGAUUGGAUUUUUGGGUGCGGGUCUCUCACCAAAUCGAUCGAUCUAUCACAAUUUGUCGAGAUCUCGUAUUGCAUACCUCGAAUUAUGCUGCAAAAAAGCUUCGUGUUUUUACGCAAUGGAGAGAGAGAGAGAGAGAGAGAGAGAGAGAGAGAGUACCCCUCGCUCUUUUAGUUGGGGAAUUUUAUAGCCUAAAAAGAAGGGGAUUUUAGAGAGAGAGGGAGAGAGAGAGAGAGAGAGAGAGAGAGAGUUAGAGGGAGCAGGAGAGAGGAAGGUGAGCAAACCAAACUGAGAGAGUGACGUUGAUAAUGAUCGGAUGGGAGUGAUCAAAUGCGUCAACAAAGAUGACUUUUUUUGGGUUUGGUUUUGUUUUUGGUUUUGGUUUUUCAUUUUCUUUUUUCUUUUUUCUUUUUUGUGGAACUUAAGAAGCGUUCAAAGGGGCUGCGGAGACCAGUGAGAAACGAAAGGGGAGAGAAGUUCAUAGUUUGAAUUGUUUUAUGCUAAUAUUACUAAAAGUACUUCUCAAAAUAAAUAAAUAAAAAGUAUACAAAGUAUGCUUUGGUUGCUUCUUCUUUCCUCUUUUUGUUCUUAAUGUAUGUUUUCUCUGUGGACUCGGUAUUUGACACGGCUCCAAAAUCUAUAAUUUGAAAGAGAUAUUCUAAUUUUUGACUGGGGAAUGUUUUGUAUACUAGGCACCGUUUGAUUUGGACAUAAACAAGAAUUAUUAUAGAGAUAGAUACAAAUAUGGGAUAAAAAAAAUAACGUUUGGAUAAAAAUUGAAUUAUUUCCGGAGAUAAAAAAAAAAUAGCAUUUGGAUAGAUAGUAUGAAAUAAAAAAAAUAAUAAAUAAUUAUAUAUAGAAAAUAGAGGUGUUGGUAAGAAUAGUUAUACCAAUUUAUUUCAGGUAUCCGAUAAUUACUAUUCUCAGAUAAAAAAUUAGCGUUAGGGUUACGUUUUGUUCACCGUAAAUUAAACUGAAAAAUUAUUUUCACUAUAAAAAGUAUUUUCGCUUGUUUGAUUUUGAAAAAAGGUUAAUUUUUUUAUUUUUUUGCUGUUUUUGGACGAAAACGAGAACUCAGACUGUGUAAAAUUUUUUAUUUAUUUUUCUGUUGAAUCAAAUAAAUAUGAUUUUUUUUUCCAAUCAAACAAAUAUCAAUGCAAAUUUAUUUUUUUCCCUAUAAAUCAGACAUUACAAAAUAUAAAAUUUUUGUUUCACGAAAAAUUAUUUUUCACGAUUUUACGUUAAACCAAACAGAUCAUUACAUGGAUUAAAAACAACAUCAUCUACGCAUCCUAAAUUUCAUAAAAGUUUAAUUUUAUUAUUUUUAGCAUUAUUUAUUUAGUAAUAAGGUGAUUUUAAAUAUAUCUUACACAUAUAGUUGAAAUUUAUAAAUUUUGAGAUAAUAAUAGCAAUAGAAUCAUAUUGAAAUAGUACGAAAUUUAAUUUUUCAAUUCGUAUUUAAUCGUGUCGAUCGUCGAUUCGCAUGACCCUUCAUUAGAUGCAAUAAAAAAAGUAUCAAAAAGUUGGUACUUCUAAAAAUAUUUUAGCAUAUAGCUAUAUAUAUUAUUUUAUUUUAUUAUUAAAAAAUAUUAGAUUUAAUGUAUGAACUUAUUGUAGAUUUAUUAAACUUGUUAAUUCUCUUCUAUGAAAAGCUAAUCGAACUCAUCUGAUAUAUUCUAUCAUUAACAAUUAUAACACUGCCAAUAUGGUUACACUAACAAGUUACAAAAUAAGAUCAAAUAUUUUGUUUAUUUAUUAUGUAUCAUAUUUUAGAAGUUCGUGCAAUAUAUCUACGUAUUUCAUAUGUAUUUAUCUUUACUUAAUACCCCAUCAACAUCUUUUAGUUUUUUACUAUUAAAUGUUUUCCAACUUUACAUCAAAGCCCAAAACAAUAAAUAAAUAAAAUAUACUACUACCAUUUUGUAUAGUUGAGUGUUACCAUGCAUGCUCAUCUAAGCAAAAUAUGCAUGUCAUUUAUAUUAAUUAAUUAAUUAUACUCCACAACACAAGGGAUAAAAAGUAGGUCGUUAUAGGUGGUAGUUUGUUUGUUGGUGUGAUAGGUUUUCUUUUUAAUUCAUAAAGAUCGAAGUAUAAAAAUCUAGUGACUGAUAUUUUUUUAAAAUUUUUUUAUACUAACCAUAAAGCCAUUUUCAAAUAUUUUAAAAUCACCAAAAAUAAACUAGAUUCAUACAUUUUCCUCUGCUUCGUGUACAGCAAUAUAGUACUCUUUUUAUUAGAUUAGAAUCAUGUUGUUUAUUUGAUUACAAUAACUAUUAUUAUAUUUUAAAUAUCUUGUCAGAUUAGGAGUAUGUUUAAUAUUUAAUUUUUAAUCAUAAUAUGAUUACUAUCCUACAAUUAUAGAAAUUCUUUUGGUUUAUUAUUGUUGUUUUUUUGUCCUUUCCUCCUCAAAGCAUGGCUCCAAUUUUCAGAGGAUUUUGACCUUGUGGAUCCAUUUCUCACGUACAGUCCCCGUGAAUGGUGGUGGUAACUAUUCUUCAAUUAUGUCAUAUUAUUAUCAUGAGAUUAUUUUAAGUGGUGAUUGGACCUAUAUUUUCACCAAAUUUCGUACGUGCUAAUACCCCUACUUUUCUUUAGCAAAAUGCUUUAGAUUCCACAAAAGAUUCUAUACAACAUUACUAACAUGUUAACACACUCGCGCACUAUAUUUGACGCACUUUUAAAAUCUUAUAUAAGUAUUUCAAGAUCAGGAUUUAAUUUAUUAUAUAUGUUUUACUAUGUUGAAAAGAUAACACAUACCAAAAAAAUUAAAUCGUAUACUCCUAUUUCUUACGAUGUGAAUGGAAUUAUUAUUUGUUUUCCGUAUCAUUAAUUUUUAGAAUUGUUCGAUGCUGAGGUAAUAGAUCUUAAAGCCGUAUAAUUAAUUAUCUGUAAAGUCACAUAAUCGUGUCAACCAGUGGGGUCUAAAUCUGGGACUUAAUGAAAAAAAAAAAGAAAAAAGAAAGAGAGACAAAAAAAAAAAAAAAAGAAAGAAGAAGAAAAGACAAGAAAGGCACUGCCAGCCAAUAAGGAGACCGACGACCACAAAAGGCGCGGAGCCGAGCAGGACCAAAACCAAAACAUGUUGACUCUUUUUCGGGUAUUAUUAGUCACACAAAUAUUCAAUAAUUGUACCGGUGCUCAUUUAAGUUACCCUUCCGUUUCCUAAUUUCAAAGCAUGGGUUAGAAUAGUACUCAGAGAGAGAGAGAGAGAGAGAGAGGGAGAGAGAGAGAGAGAGAUGCAUCACAUGCAGAUAAAUAUUAUUGAAAACACAGUUGUUUGUAAAAAGCAAUAUUUUCCAUGAUGGUACUAUUAUAAGGAACUAGGCUACUAUACUAUUAACAGCACAAAAUCAUUAGUACUAUCAAAUUUUUGGCCAUUAGGUUAAGAAAUAUGCGGUUAAGAUGAUGUGAGCUCUCUAGGGUUGAGUAGGUGGUUUGUUGAAUAAUAUGAUCUAACGGAUGAAAAUGAUCAAAAGGAUAGAUCUAACGGCGAAAAAUUUGGUAGCACCAAGUGCUUCGUGCUAUUAAUAGCAUAGUAGCCGGACUCCUAUUAUAAGACUAGGGCUACUAUACUUUUAUAAGUAUAGACACUUUUAUACUCAUAAAUUUUCGACCGUUGGGUGAAAAAAUGUACGGUUAGGAUAAUAAUGACCCGUAAUUAAGAUGAUAGUAAUCGGGUAGGAUUGAGUGGGUGAUUGUUUGAACAGAAUGAUCUAACGAUUGAAGAUGAUCAAAAUGAUAGAUCUAAUAGCUAAAAGUACAAAGAAAAUCUAUACUCGUAAGAGUAUUAUAGCAGCCGGACUCCUAUUAUAGAUCAAAGGGCUAAACAUUGAAGAGCAUACACUAUUCGUAUGCUUCUCAGAGCAUCCGAGAGGGAAUAGGCUUUCACUAGAUAAAUUCUGGGAGCACUUGAAGAAAAUAAGAUUUGUGUUGUAGUGCCUACAAGACAGGAUUUGGCUUUCAGUAUGACCAAAGGCAAACAGAUCAAAUGUGAAAAUAUGCUCAAGUGCUUUUCAGUGGAACUACAAAAAUCAUAUUAUGUAAACUGAACUCUUAUCCUGAACUAAUCAGGAAAGAUACAUGAAUCAAGCUCAGAACCUCAUAAAACAGAAGGGAAUGAAGAAUGACUCAAAAGCGUACGGUAUUAUUCAAGAACUAAUCUGGACAAUGGUUGAAGCUGCAACUUCUUUGUGUAUGAAGGCAUAGUCAUCUUCCCACUUAAUUCAUACUUUUGCCGUGCGUGGUUUCCUUCUUGGGUCUCUGAAAGCAAGCAGAAAAGCUUCAAAGCUUGGGAAACAAGUUAGUAGACUAAUCCCGAAGACUUUGAAUAUAAUUUAACAAUAGACUUGUACUACUCUCACUACUAAUUAAGGCGACACAUCUAACACGGUUUCUUUAUAAAAGCCUCGAAUUGAAAAGGAACUUAAUAUGAAGCAACACCGGUGGACGAAAAUAGUAAGUCUGAUACUUCUGCUGCAUCGGAAAGCUAAAUUAGCUUCUAAAACAAAAGUUGCUACCACAACAAGAACAUAAUUGCCGAAUACUGCAACUAAAAUGAACAUGUGGAUUUCUUUUCACCUUUGCCGUAAAUUCUCAUAAACAACACCUUCAUUCAUGCAUCUACGAUGGACAAAUCAAAUAUGCCUCUGGAAAAUUAAACAGCAAGCAGAGAAAAUAAGGGCGUGACAAUCUAAAUUAGAUGACAAACAAAAAAAAAAUAGAAUAGGUAUUCAAUAGUUGAGCUAGGACUGUUAAGUGAUGCAUGUAAAUUUGAGUUUAGAAACACAAAUAGCGAGACAUAUAUAUAUAAUUCAGUUCCUCAGGAAAGAAUAAAACUAGUAACGAGAAAUGUUUCUCGAUAACCAUUUGUUUAACUUGCAACCAGAUGACCGCCUGAAUUCUGCAGAAGUAUACCGUAGAAAUAAAAAUAACUAACAGAUCAAUCGGCAUCCUAUCAUCUUUCUGACAUAAACACAAACAAACAAACAGGAGAACAUAAACCAUGGCAAAUACUGGGAUCUUUCAUCAAGAUAAAGAAUCAUCCAAUUUCUGAAAAGAGCCACUACUUUUUCUCGCUCAAGCACACCAUAGUCUAAAUCUAUGGAUGAGAAAAGAAAAGGCAUUGGUCACUGGGAAUUUGGGAUCCUGCUUGUAUAAAGAUGCAUAUUACCAGGUAGAAAAUCAUAUGCCAACAUUACGGUGAUAUUUCCUUCCGAGAUAUGAGUAACCGGAGCUGUGCUGUUAGUUGUAGACCAUGUAUUUGGGCGUUGCGCUGAACUUCUGAUAACCCUUAAUAACCUUAUUCACUGCAUCAAGAAAGUCCUUUUCGGUUACCGUCUUCCUGCGUGCCCGGAUUGCAUACAUCCCGGCUUCGGUGCACACACUCCUUAUGUCCGCCCCUAAUAUAAAGAAAUACAGGAAAUAGUUAGAAACUUGUGAAGAACAAAUAGAGCAAUUUUGAUGUUUGUCCAAGUAAAAUAGACCGUAGAAAAACAUAUAACACCAAGCAUCUAAGUUCCAAGCAUUCAGACCGGCUUUUACUUUUAAAGAAAAGGAGAAAAAAAUGUGUAGCGGAGCAUAGUAACUUGUAAAGUAAAAAAGUACAGAGCUACAUCAGUUAUAGCACAUUUUAAAGUAGGUGCCUGAACUUCUAAAAUUUUGACAUAAACUAUCAAAGAACUUUCCGACUUCAAAGAACUUUUCGACUUCAGAAAAUUCUACCUGAGUUUUGUCAAAACUUAAAAAAGGAUUUUGUCAAAUUGGUUAUAGAAUAUUUUAUCAAGUAAGAAAUUAUCCCAUUAGAUUAUAAAAUACCCACCAAGUUUUGAACAAGAGGUACUCACAUCAAAAGAACUACAAGUUUAGAUGGUAAAUUAACAACUUUAAGUUCAGGUAGGUAAGAUCUGUUCAAUUUUGCUUAAUUGUUAGAUGGAGUAUUAUCAAGACAAACCCCUUAUACUAUUGAAAUGAGGUAAAGAAACACUUCAGUAAAUGCUCACCAGUGGAGUUAGGGCAGAGGCGAGCAAGAAGCUCAAAUCUGAUGUCCCUUUCGCAAUUCAUUGUUUUUGUGUGGAUCUUGAAUAUCUUUGUGCGACCUUCCAAGUCUGGCAGACCAAACUCAACCUUACGAUCCAAUCUUCCCGGACGGAGUAAAGCUGGGUCCAAAGUGUCAGGCCUGAAAAGUUUUGGAAAGAGAGGGAGAUGAAUUCAUAUGUUCUAAGGGCAUGGUUAAGAGUUGACUUGAAGCACAGCUAUAAACUAGAAAACAUCAAGCUGUCGAACCUAUUGGUUGCCAUUAGAACUUUGAUGUUUCCUCUAGCAUCAAAACCAUCAAGCUGAUUGACGAUUUCAAGCAUAGUACGUUGAACUUCAUUGUCCCCACCAACGCCAUCAUCAAAACGAGCACCGCCAAUAGCAUCAACUUCAUCAAAAAAAACAAUGCAUGCCUUCUUUGAACGGGCCAUCUAAAUGACAAGACUAGUUGUUAGACAAACAGCGAAAGUAACUAAGAAAGUAAGGAAAUCCAAGAACAAUAAUCAAAUAAGUUCGCCAUUGAAUCGCCGGAAACCAAACAACCUGGAAAAGUUCGCGGACCAUUCGAGCUCCCUCCUACAUACUUCUGAACCAGCUCACUUCCAAUGACACGAAUAAAGCAGGCAUCAGUUCUGUUGGCCACGGCUCUAGCAAGGAGAGUUUUUCCUGUUCCAGGAGGACCAUAACAAAGGACACCUUUAGGAGGAUCAAUUCCAAGCUUCACAAAUUUCUCUGGAUGAAGCAUUGGAAGCUCCACAACCUGAGGAACAAUAAUAAGAGAAAACAAAAAUGAUGCGCUCUGGUUUAAUUCACCAACUUGCAGGUACCCGCCAUAUGUAUAAUCAUUUUACACUGCUGUCAAACCUGAAUGAGCGAUAACAACAUGAUAUUUUUAUUUUUAAUCACAAAGAAAAGGCAUACCUCUCGCAUCUUUUCAAUCUGCUCCUUACACCCACCAACAUCAUUAUAUGUGACAUCAGGCUUCUCCUCCACCGUCAUCAUCGUAACACUUGGAUCAAUUUUUGGUGGCAAGGGAAUCUGGAUUUGAUACAUAUUUCGAUCAACUCUGCAAAUGAAAGAUUAUUAGAUCAAACCAUGAUGUCCAACCAACACCAAUUGAGAUUUUCAAUAAAAGUCUCAGUCCUAGUAAAAUUAUUUGAUUACAACUUUGCGGAUAACUAACUGCACCAUGCCACAAAUGCUUAUAGAUACAAGAAGUGCUGAAGCGCUACAGAUGGUUUGACGCGAUAUAAUGUAAGGUCAUCUAAACUGAAUAUUGCCAGUUGCACAACAAAACAUACAGUCCAGGUAAGAUUGAUUCCAACAUCCACCUCUGUAGUAAUUAUGAAUGUCACAGGAACUUUGAUGGCCUACAAGUAUUAUAAUUCUCAUGCAAAUACCAGAUUAAAGGACUCAAAAGACAGUACCAAGGAGAUAGCGAUGUAUAAUUCCUUAUAGAUAGUAUGUUGUCACAACCAGCAACUAGGUGCCAAGGCCAUCCAUCACUGUGAUUAUGUAACUCAAGUCUGUUUUGCCAAUUAGUUGCUUCAGAAAUAAUCUUGCACUAACAAAUUAUUGUACUCUAUUUGUUUUACUUUUAUUAUUCUACAAUUGCUUUUGUAAUAUAUUAGACACUAGCUUUAGCGCGGAUGGGGGAAUGGGAGAGAGGGUGGGAAAGACAAUUAUUGCUAUUAUAAUGGAAAACGUCAAUAACGACACACUAGCUAGUUAGAAAAACUAAUACACCUCAAAUGAAGCAGUCAUUGAAGAGAAAUUGAGACAACUAAUCAAGUGAAUGGUAUUGUAGCCUUACCCAACUCGCAUGGCUUCUUCAAUAUCAGUUGGAGAGACUUUGUCGCCCAACCCGACCACAAACUGCAUAAGUCCAAUAGAAGAAAGAGAAUUUAAGUUGGGACGACCAUGUUGUUGUCCAUUUGUCCAGACAAGUAAACAUAGUAGGAAGAGCAUUACAUGCUCAAAAAGUAUACCUUGGCAAUUUGCUUAACAUUUAUCACAUAUUUAGCAUCUUCUGUGUUCGGGCUAAUAAUCUUCGUACACCUAGCAACCUUUUGAUGAAACAACAAUCUAGUCAGACACCAAAUAUGUAAGACGUAAAACAAGUUUACUAAUAAACUCCCAGAUAUCACAGAAUAAAACAAGCACGAAUACCUAAAAUUCAUGCAAAUUUGAGACAAAAAUACCUGCAGAGGUUGUUCCUCUUGCAUCAUUUGCUUGUCAGAAACCAAAUCCCACUGGCUAGGUGUAGCUAAACCAGUGUCUGACUCUUUGAUUCCUGGCAUUUCAUAACAAAAAAUGUCUCAAAGGUUCCAAGAAUAUAAUAGCAACAGAUUUUAAUAACAAAAACUACCUAUCACUACAUUAUGCUAGUUUAAAUAAGCUGUGGAAUCAACUUAUUCCAAAUACUCUUUCGGAAAUCUAAAGAAAAGAAAGAAAGCAUUUUUAUAUCUAAAUUAGCUCUUCAUGAGUAACGACAACCGACUCCAGUCACAAAAGACGCCACCUUUGAAAAGCGCACCUCUAUUUCAAGCAUCUUAGUACAUACCCAUUUGUAAUGUCCAUUGUAUGCUUGAUUUUGCUACAUAAUAGAACCGGACUAUAAUAAGAUAAACUCAAUUCUUCAAGGAACUAUAACUUAAAACAUCAAUCAUAUGCAUCGGGAGCUUAAAUACACAAAAUUUGAGUCAAAACAAUGACUCUUUACGUAUCACUUGAGAAAGUAGAGUCACAUUAUUUCAUUACAAGAAAAAUAUAAGCAAAACAAGUUCCAGUUUACAUAUUUGUACAUCCAUUUCUUCGUAUGUAUCUAUAGAGAUACAUAUAUUUAGGCAUAUGAUGAUAUUAACACACUACUUACCACAUAGAUCAUUGAUCUUCUUCACCAUCUCCUUAAUCUCCUUCUCCGCCUUCUUUAUGCUCUCAGAAUAAGGUCCCAGACCCUGCCAUAUGACACAAUUCUCAUCUUAUCAUCAUAAAUGUACUUAAACAAAAUAAGAGGAACAUCAAAUAGUUUCCACACAAACCCUUACUAUACAAUCGAUCCAAACAACAAAGGUAUUAAUAACUCACCACUCUAGAUCGCAUUCACCAACAAUAAAACUAGAUCUAGCGGAAUCUGAUGCGCAAACAAAGUAACCUAACCUAACCUAGCCCUAAAUCGAGGCGAACCAAAGAAGUGAAGAGAUUAGGGGAUGCGUACGUAGGUUUUGAGGAGGGCGAUAUCGUCUUCGUCGAGGGGGCAGGCGCAGGUUCUUCUCGUUCAACUCGUCUUCGGGCUACAGAACCAUGGCGAGGUCGAGGGAAGGUAGCGAAAAUGGCGAGUGCAAAAUUACAAAAUAGGUCGAUUUCUUAUUCACGGCAACAUGUUAUAGUGGUCGGACAAAUUUUAGUCCGACACGCCUAGAUCAAUGCCACGUGUCAGCGGAAUGGGAUAUGUAGGAGUAGGACGAUUUUUGAUUCGGCGCCUGUAUGUGUGUUGACACGUGUCACCUGAUUCUUGAACGUUCGACAUCUAAAUCCUACCCAUUUUCUCCUCUUUUAAUACAAAUUUAUUUUAUUUGAUUGGGUAUGUAACUUAUUAUUAUUAUUAUUAUCAUUAUUUUUAUACGAAUCCGAUAUGAUUAGAUGAACUUCUUAAAACAACAACAACAACAACUAAAAUUCAUUUACAUCAAUUUUGAAAAACAAAGAGGGAAUAACAAUAUUUCAAUCAAAACCAUCAAAGUACAGCACACACAAUCUGCAAAUUCUGAAACAAACUUUAAAUGCUGCAAAGGCAGUGAAAAACAACAAUUUGGCAUUUAAGAUCUAUUAGCAAUAAAUUAGAAGAAAUAAGAUUGCAUGAAUACCAAGGUCUUGCUUGUCCUCAAAAAUAUCAAAAACUUUCUCACUAAAACUGGAAUAGGUUCUGCAAAAUGUCUAUUAAUAUGUUCCUCCUUACAAAAUACAACAAACACUAUUCCUACUGGUUAUACAGUUAAGACAGAUACACAUGAAAUUAUAUCGGAGAUGCCGCCGCCUUGGAAUAAGUUUCGAGUUUCUUAACAUUAAAGCAUUAGAAAUAUAUAGCAAAAGUAGUUUGUAGAAAAUAUUGCGGAACGAAUUUGCGGCGCAGGUUCAAAAUUUUUUUUGUCAGUUGAUUCAAUAUAACGUAAUUGCCGACUUCUUUAGGGUUAUUGGGUAACCAUAAGUUGUUGAUUGUUAUGCCAAGCCACGACAUCCUCGUAUUGUAGAUUGCCCCCAAAUAUAUCGAGAGAACUUCCAACUGUAACAUCAACGUGGCCCUUGCCAGCGGUUUUUAUCCUAUCCAGCUCUUCCAUUGUUGAGACCCCGCCAGCAUAAGUUACCGGAAUCUACAGUGUGAAAAUGUUGAAAUAUAUGUAUGAGUUUUUAUCGACAUCCGCCGAUCAUAUUGAGCACAAACAAAGCUAAAAUCUUUCAUGCUCAAAACAAAUUAAUAUAUACUGUAAACAGGAGUACUAAUUUUAUAAAGAGGCAAUGUAAAGUUGAGUUCAUCAGUGAUGCAAUGUUGCAUUUGAGGUUGGGCCAAAAGACACUACACCUGUAAGGUACUAGAUUUUAGAAACACAAAAGCUAAUAUUAAAAAUGAAAGUAUACAAUAAAUAGCGCCUUUAAUGAUGGCCUUUAGUGACAAAUUAGCAAAACCAGAGCUCGUUCUUGGGUUAGGGGAACCAAGUCAUAAACAUGUGGAGAAAACUAAAUAACAGAAAGUAAGGUAUUACGUACAGGUGAGUAGCAUCCAAGCAGUGUCACAAGCUCCUCAUCAAUUCCUAGCCUGCCAUAGCACCAAGAACAUUAAUUAGAAACCGAGAUAAUAUAGUUACCGAAUCAGUUCUUGUUGGAGCCUAUAUUUGACCGAGUCCAUCAGAAUACUAAAAUGCUAACCAUUCGCAAUGUGAUAGAGGUGAAAGAAGAAACCAGCGAUAUAUUACGAAAAACCAAAUGGCAUGCCAAAGGUAGAGCGGUAAGAAGCUCCGGGUUGCUUUGAAAAGAAUCGAGUAGAAAUACUGUAGAGUAAGUCACCUUUUCCCCUCCACGUCAACUCCAUGAACCAAAAACUCAUCUGCAUAGGUCGCAAGAAAUUCCAAUGUCUGCUCUUCUAGAAUGACAUCACUGAAUUUCUGCCAUCUGUCAGUAACAAUGGCGUAUUUACCAUUCUACACCAAAAUCAUAAAGUCUACAAUCAAAUAAUACUACCAUUGAAAAGAAACAUAAUUUGCUAUCAACUCGGUAUGCACAAAAAAAAGUCUAAUUGUAAAUGUCAAUAGCAUGUAGCUAGAGAAUGUAACAAGUGAAUAAGUAAAACCAACAAUAUCAAGAAAAUUUCCCGUACCUUCUUUCUACAACUAAGAUCCAAGACAAGCCUUUGCUUUCCAAUCAUACCAACAAGAUGUUUAAGCCGUUCAAGGUUCAUUUGUCCAUUACUGAAAACAUACUGCAAGUCAAAUAUUUAAAUAGUUACUAUGAACUCAAUAAAAAAGGUCAGCAUUGAAUUGACAUAUAAACUUACUAUAUAUUAGUGGCGGGCAAAGCAUUAAAUAUGUGUAGAGAACCUGUGCUCCCCGAGUAAUGUGUUUUACACUUUGAAAUGCAGGGACUUGUGAGAUUAACAUUAGUACAUUAGCUUUCAUUAGAACUUUGGAAUUUUAAGUUCUUCUAAAUUUUCAACUACAAAGCAGAAAAAAUUUCAAUUAUGAAACUAUUUGUUAUGUGAAAGUUAUUGAGUACAGGAGAGAAACAUACAAAACAAUGAUUAUGAUCAUUCCAAAGAUUGAUAUGAGCAAAUGCAAACCAGAAGUAUUUUGUGUAUAAUAAAAAAAAAGGGACAUGAUAACUAUGCUGUUGCUCAAUCAAGCAAACAAUGUCUGUGAAAUAAAUAAAUAAAUCACAUACUGAUGUAACAAUCACGUGGCUUGCACCUUCCUUGAUAUAAGUCAUGGCAUUGUCCGAAUUGAUCCCACCUCCAAGUUGCAUGCCACCUAAAGUCAGGACAAUUUAUGGUCAUAUUGGCAUGGAAUUACUAUGUCUAAAUUGUGAUGUCAUAUAGCAGACAAAGCUUCCAUACUGAGAGAAAAAUGCUAGAGAAAAUACAUCAAAACCUAUUAAGAGCAUCAUUGUAACAUUAUUUUACCACGGAUAUACAAAAAUCAUAGGCUAUAACAGAGCAACACAAUAGAAAAGGCUACCAUCAUUGUAGGGUCUAGGAGGAGUCUAUAGUUGUCUCUAGGGAGGUUGUUUGCAUGAUUCAAAUCCACACAGCUGAGAAUGAAAGGUUGACUACAGAAAAAUAAUAAAAUAAAUUAAAAUUAUCCUUCUCCUAUUACAGAUAGCUUCUUAAUGCUGGAAAUAGUAGCUUGUUCAACUAAACGAAUUAGGUCUUCAUGUCAUUCGCACAGUAACACUCCACUACCAUUCCAAUUCCUGCACAUAGUCAGAAUUCUGACAAACUACAAUUCAUUACAUCUUUAAUCCGGAUUGAGAGAACAGAAAAUUUUUCUACUUUACACCUGCUCAAGCGAGGACUUUUACUUUCAGAAGUUCAAGCAAGAAGAACCCAAAGUUUCCUCACAGGAUGCAAAUUAUAAGCCAUUUGAUUGCGUGCAACUACAGUUAACUAAUAAUAAGAACUAUGCAUUUACAAAAUCAGGUAAACUAGUCUAGUUAAAUCUCGAUAUUGUGAAUUUGACAGCUUACUAUCUUCCACAUCAACUACCAUUAAUGCAGGGUUCAGUUACUAUGAAUCUUACAGUUAAUUGACCAUUAAGCAACAUAAGAAAAUCAAUGGCACAGUAUAGUGGAUUCUUUGGACCUAGAGCAAGUAACAAUCAUGCAAAAUCAUGGCCGAACAUUUCAAACCCCCACAUUUCAUCGAAAAAAAAAUAAAAAAUCCUUCUUUGAAGGAAACAAGUUAAGGAUAUGAAACCCUAAUUCCAACCAAAGAAGAGAUGAUCUCACCAGGAUAAGCAUGCAAUGCCUCCAAUGCCGCGACUCGGCUCGCAUCAUCGGCCCCGAGCAUUAUAACAUGGCCCCCCGUGAGCCCAUCCUCCUUGUAUAGAUUCGCGAACUCCGCCGGAGACUUAUCCGAUUCAAAAUUCGUCACAAGAGCCGUACCAUCCACCACCGUAUCCCUUAGCGUGGAUCCCACGAUCUGCUUCACUUUCCCCUACCAACCCACAGCAAAUUCGAUCAAAAACUAGGGUUUAAACAAAGGAAACGAGCGCGGGGGCGAUCUCGAAUCUAGGGUUUACCUUGUGGAUGUCGAUGCAGGGUCUGAAUCGAACGGCGCAUGCAACGAGGGAGACGCGAUCUACGCCGUUGGAUCGACGAGUUGGGAGAGAGAGGGGUUUACCGUUAGGGUUUCUCCGAUCAGGGAUGGGGUUGAGGGGAGAGGGAGGGACCCUCGCUCUCGCGCCAAAAAUCGUGCGCGUCGCCAUUGUUGAGGGGCGGAGUUAGAGGGAAGAGAGAGAGAGGAGAACGAUCCUCUCAAAAAAAGAAAGAAAAAAAAGUUUAAGAAAUAAAAGUAAAAAAAGAAAAAAUAAUCCGAUCCUAAUGGCCUUUAUCCCAAUGGAGUGCAACAUACAUAUUUUUUUGGCCCUUUUUUUUUAAAAAAAUAUAUUCGAGAUUUUUAUUAGAGUACAUGUUAUUAUAGAAUAACUUGUAUUUAUUUUCUACUAUAGUUUUUAUAUUAUUCUAUUUGAAUUUUUUGAUGCAUUUGAAUAGAAUGAAUUUUUUUAAAAUAUUUUUUAAUUUUUUAUUCUCAAAAUAAUAUAAAAAUUAUACUAAUAUUUGUUUCAUUUUUUAAAAUUAAAACAAUUUUACCUUUCUCUCAAAAUAAUAGUAUGACUCAUUUCUUUUAAACUGUAUUCAAGUCAUAUAUUUUGAAUGUUUUUUCAUUUUAAUACUUAAAUAAAAAAUAAAGCAGUUAAACAAAAUUUUUAAACUUUAAUUUUUUAACUUUUAUUCAUAGAAGUGCACUACUAUACAUUAGAAAAGUGCACUACUAUACAAUAUUCAAAUUUUUUUUAAAUUUUUCUUUUUUUGCAUUUAUUCUUUAAUUUUUUUUUUCUCUUACCUUACUAUUUCUAAGGGUAGAAAUUGUAAUAUGAAUUGACACAAUUAUAAUUCGGCCGAGUAUUAAUUUAGUGAGGGUAUAUUUAAGAUCCAACAUUUAAUUAUCAACAAAAUUUAGAAUCUUCUUUUAAAACAUGGCUUCAAACUAUUUCAAAAAAAAUUUAUUUUUGAGAAUUUAAGUUUAUAACUACAUACUGAAUUUUUUGAACUUCUAUUCUUAAUAAACUUGAUCAACACGCAAAUCAAAUCUAAAUACCUACGUGGGUAGGAUACUGGCCUAUUUAGAAACAAAAUGAAUAUACAUUUUUCACUAUUUUUAUUUUGAAAGUAAUUUAGCAAUUGUAAAGAGGGCCCUUUCAAUGCAAGAAAAGAAUAAAUCCAACCACCCACCACCCACGAUUUUAAAGCCAAAGCUGACACUUCUAGAAACCCUUUUCUCCUUUUUUUUUUUUUUUUUUUUUUCAGCAACAUAGAAAUGACAAAGUUACAAAGAGAGGAGAAAAAAAAAAACUCUAGAAGAUUUUUAAGUCAUUAGUCAUUAAAAAUAUAAAAGGAAAUUGCAGAGCCUCCAACAUAUAAAACUGCAUAUAGAUCCCUUCAACAAUAUCAAUUUCGAAUUGUCUGAUCUGAUUUAUUCUCUAAAAUUCAUUAAAAAUUAAUGGGUUUGUUAAAUUUUACAUAUUAAAAUUGGACAAAAUUGAUAGUUUUAUUAGCUAAAACAAUGAAAAACUUAUCAUUAAUUUAAGUUAAAAAAGUGUUAAUUAGAAAAAUAAUAAUAAUAAUAGUCGUUUAAGGGUCGAUUUUAAAACGUUCUCAUCUUAGAGGGGUUUCCUGCAAAUGUUCACACUUAGGCGCUUUUCCCCCUCCCUUUAAAAACACUUCUUUCUCCUGCAGCGUAUCUCCAACGAUGAAGCAACAACCACUCUCCUCUUCCUCCUCCUAGAAUACCCCUCCUCUUCCCAAAAUGGCCCCGACACUUCUCCCUCCUUCCACCACCACCGAGCUCGACAAUGGCGACUCCCUCACCCUCUGCUACCUCCCUGUUUCCUCGAACUCCUCCGACCAGUCUCCGUUGACCCCUCCGCCGGAUCCCUCCCACUUCUCCUUCUCCUUCUCCAGCUUCUCCCCCGACAUACGCUACGCAGACGAGCUCUUUGGCAAUGGGAGGCUCCUCCCCUACAAGCCCCGACACCAAUCGGCACCAUCUACGGCAGAGAUGAGCAAUACCCACGACGCAAAACGCCUGCUUUUUCCCCACCGCCGCUCGGCAUCACUUGACGGGGGCAUUCUCCACCACACCGAGCGCCCGAGGCUUCGGAGGGCAACAUCGGACUCCGACCCAUUAACAACGGUGCCGCCGCGGCCAAGGUGGUACGAGGUGUUCAUGCUCGGGCCGAGGAGGUUCUCAGGCACGGUGGAGAUGAGGGAGGUAAGGAGUCGGCAGAGGCGGAGAGUGUCGCCACCGUCGACUCCUCCAAUGCACAAUUCAGCAUCGCUGCCGUGGAAGCUCCUGCAGUCGCUGAGCUGCAGGGGCAUGGAAAGCGCCGCCACAAUCUCAGCAGGGGCGCCGCAGCCGCCGCCGCAACAAGUCUAAACCUUACUAUAUAUCUGUUACCUGACAACUAGUUGGAUUUUAAAAAAACCUUCUAUGUUAUUCCAACAAUUAUAUAAGCUUUAUAGAGAAUCUAUUGAUUUUUACUGUCAUAUUAAUAUUUUCAAGUAUAUAAAAUGUGUUCUAAUCGAUUAGUUAUCUCGACUUCUUUAUCAGUCAUUUUCUGGGAUUUAAUUGGUGAACCAAAGGCCAGUUGGAGAGAACAAAUAAAAGAGUUCACGAGGAGCCCGAGAUUUGCAUUUAUGAGAGGCUCUUUAGGAGAUCCAAGAGUUCAAAAAUCAUAAACAGAAAAACCAUUGUAUUUCGCAUUGUUGAGACCUCAACUUUCAUUUAUUUUAUUUCAUUUUUUGUUUGUAACUGAAUGAUUUUGUUAGUAACUACAUUAAAAAAAUUCACCAAACUCAUUUAAAUCAUAGAGCAAAAUAAUUAACUAAUAGAUGACCAAUAGAUCUAUGAAAUUUAAAAAAUUCAGCUUAAUUUAGCAUAUUGUUCUACUUUUACCUUUGGAAUGUGAAGUUCAAACCACAAUAUGAACAUUACUAGAGACCUUUCCUCAGAACACUUGAUAAAAACAAAUCCAGAACAAAGUUAUGAAAUUAAUACUAAGAAAACAGCAAAUGUACUUUCAUAACUUUGCAACAAACAAAAUAUUCUUAGUAACACCCUCUAAUCUAAUGUUUCUCAUCCUCAAAUCAGAAAGAUCUAGAACCUUAUCUAGCAAGAGAUGAACAAAGACACAAUGGAGUUUUAAUGAUUCAAAACACACAUUAGGCACUUAGAUUUAGCACUCAUCAUGAACUAAAGAUGCAACUUAGAGCAAAGCUAUUUACAAAACCCCAUUAAAAGUGUUUUUCAUUAUUUGAGCAACUUCUAUUAUGGCAUAAAAACUUGUCAACUCCACUCCACCAAUAAAGGCACAAGCCAGUUUAGAUUCUGAGCAUUACUCUUCAAAUGAUCAAACCAAAUUUUGCACCAAUAUGUAGCGCAUGUUCAGAGAAUUUGACUGAUAUUAUGGUAUCUAUUCACCAUUCAAACACAAUUUUUACAACAACCAAAUUACAUGUAACUCAAUUGACAAGUUACAUCUCACACACAACAACAAAAAAAAGAGAAACCACAAAUAAAUCAAAGAUAAUAUCCACUCAGUUGAAACACUAGAGAGAUCCAAAACAAAUCUAAACAGAAACUUAGCAUUCCAUCCUAACACGGUUCAAUUGAGAUACAACAAUAAGACCCAAAAACAAACCAAAUCAGAGGGCUCACCAACGUAAAUUACACUUUACUGUCUAUCCCAUCCGGCCCAAUGAGAAGCACAUAAAACAUCAAAUAAAUAAGAAAAUAUCUCAUUGUAAGGUAAAAGUCCUUGUUCACAUUUGAGAGCACAACCACAUCCAUUCAUAUCAAACACCUAGCCACAUCCCACAAAAAAAAAAAAAACCCUAAAAUCGGAAGCUAACUACGAUCCAUAUUAGAUCCAUCCUUUUCCAAUCUCACGUACACUAACACAACGAUCAAAAUGGCAAAGGGAAAGAGAGAGAGGGAGAGCGUUCAACCACCGAAGCCAUAGAGGGUGCGGCCCUGGCGCUUGAGGGCGUAGACGACGUCCAUGGCGGUGACGGUCUUGCGGCGGGCGUGCUCAGUGUAGGUGACGGCGUCGCGGAUGACGUUCUCGAGGAAGAUCUUGAGCACGCCGCGCGUCUCCUCAUAGAUGAGGCCGCUGAUGCGCUUCACGCCGCCGCGCCGCGCCAGGCGCCGGAUCGCCGGCUUCGUGAUCCCCUGGAUGUUGUCCCGGAGAACCUUGCGGUGGCGCUUCGCCCCUCCCUUUCCCAACCCCUUCCCCCCUUUCCCCCUCCCCGACAUGGCCGAUCCCUCGAGCUCUCUCUCUCUUUCUCUCUAACGCUAUCUCUCUCUCUCUCUCUCUCUCUCAACUUUGAUGAGGGGAUUUGGGGGUAAUGGUAGGGAACAAGGGGAAGAGGAGGAUGAGGGGUAUAUAUAGGGAAGAGAGGUGUGAGAUUAGCCGUUGGAUGAGAUGGCGAUCCGAGGGAGAUCGUAACGCUUGCCGUAGUCCGUUCGAUUGGAGUAACUCGUUGUUGAUUGGUGGGAAUUGGGAGUAGCGGAUUAAGGUCGUAGAGUGGGCCGUUUCUAUGUCUUUGUAAUUUGGGCUCGCGGAGAAGUUAUCUCGGGCCUCGGCCCACUAAAAACCCCUCACCUAUUAAAACCUUUGAACUAGGCCCCUUAAGUAUAAUAUUUUUAAAAAAUUAUUAAAUUAAAUUUGAUGAGAUAUUGAUAAAGUUAAUAAAAUUUUUAAUUCAUUGGACGAAACUCGCUCGAUUCUAUAGAACUAAAAAUUUAAAACAUCAAUUGAAAAGAAAUAUUGAUUAGCUAUCUGAUAAUUACCUAUAGUUAAGGGGAUCGCCAUGCAAUUUUACCCAAAUUAAUCCCUCCCAAUGAAAGAGAGGGAAACCCCAAACAAACUGCUGAGUUUCAUUUUUAAAAAACCAAAAACAGCUCCGCGCCAUCAUUUCUCUUCAUUUUCAGAUCAAAACUGCGCGGAAAAAACCCAAAAAAAUCCCCAAAAAAAACAAAAACAAUACCCCCGCCCAAAUGCUCCACCACGACGACGAGGACGAAGACGAGGAUGAAGCCAUGGCCAUGACGAUGCUCCGACCCCAAAACCCUCUCCACCUCCCAACCGAAAAGCUCUCCCUCGGUUGCCCCGUCCUCGACCGCCUCCUCCAUGGCGGCCUCCCCUGCGGCUCCCUCACCGAGCUCGUCGGCGAAUCUAGCUCCGGUAAAACCCAGCUCUCCCUCCAACUCCUCCUCUCCUCCCCCUCCACCUCCCUCUUCAUCCACUCCCCCUUCCCCUUCCCCCUCCGUCGCCUCCUCUCCCUCCCCCAUCCCCACGCCAUUAACGACCCCAACUCCCUCGAUCGCAUCCUCCUCGCUCCCGCUCACUCCCCCUCCCACCUUCUCUCCCUCCUCUCCCGCGCCCCCCGCUUCCGCCUCCUCGUCGUCGACUCCCUCGCCUCACUCUUCCGCUCCGAGUUCGAUCCCACCCCGAUCGCCAUGGCCCGCCGCACCUCCCUCCUCUUUGAAGUAGCCUCCAUGCUCAAAUCCCUCGCCCUCCGCUUCGGCGCCGCCGCUGUCGUCACCAACCACGUCGUUGUGGUCGUCGGGGCGCAGGGUGGCCCCUGCGCUCGGGAUCUCGUGGGCGAAUUGCGUGAACACGAGGAUCUUCUUGUCGAGGAGCGAGGAGGUUGUUGAGGGUUCGGGGGACGAUGGGGUUACGAUGAGGACGAGGACGAGGAGGAGGCUGCAAGUGGUGUUUGCGCCGCACUUGCCGGAGUCAUCGUGCGAGUUCGUGAUCCGGAAGGAAGGGGUCUUCGGCAUAGAACCGCACAGGUAAAGCCGCUUUCGAUUUCCCUUUCCCGAUCUCAGUUUUUGUAAUGUUUAAAUUAAUGCAAUGUUCCUUUUCCAUGAAUAUAUUGCUUUCAAUUGUGUUUGUUUUGGUGGUUGUGAAUGUGAGUAGUUUCCUCUGUUUUAGUGUGACGCAUCAAACAUGUUCGUAGAAAUGUUUCAGUGACCUAUCUUCCACUGGAUGGCCAAAUUUGAACCCAUUUUACACAUCGUAGUACCGUGCAUUUUUUAGAGUCGUAUGAAUAGGCCGGUCAUUGACAAGCUAGACAGGUGUGACUGUGAAAAGGAAAAUCACUGAUGCAUUUUAUCGAUCAGUGUGAGCUCUUAUAAGGUACAAAUCGAAGAAGUCUAGGCAAAUCAUGGUAAGGACCAGCCCUGAAACCUAGCAUGCAAUUUGAAUGUAGAGGUUUAUGUGCUUCGUUUACUUGUAAAUCCAUAAAUACUGGACUAAAAGAUGAACUCGUAAGUAAUUAGACGGGUAGGAAAUUCUUGAUUUAAGGAGCUAUAGUCAGUUAUGCGAUUAUCUUAUACUUGCUGUCCUAUUUAACUAUAUUACAUUGCUGAGCAUUUAUAAGCAGGUUAUUGUUUCUCGCGACAGCAGUGAAUGUUCUAAAGUGUUUUAGUCUUCUCAUCCCUGAUUAAAUUUCUUGAUUAGCAAGAGGAAGGUACGCCAUUGCCACUUUUUUCCAUCAUCUCUUCCGAGAGGAUAUUUCUCUUCUUGCUUUUGGUAUGCCUUUUUUUUUGUGACUUUGUGAAUCCUGUCGAAUUUGCAUCAUUAUGCUGCCAAAUUUAGUAGAUAUUGCAUAGUUCUGGAAGAAUACUAUCCGGAUAUAAAAUCAUCUUUACUCAGUGAAAUAUGUAGCCCUUUUUAAGGAUACAGGAGAUCUUUAUAAGGAGACACAUCCUAUUGCAUUCCAAGGAUUAGAAUUAUUAUCUUCUUUGGACUUGAGUAAUUAAGUUUCCCAAGCACAAGUUCCUCAAACUAAGGAUAGGAUUUGUGCAGAACUGUAACCUUGCAUUAGCUGUAUUGCUUCUUUCCUAAGGAUUGGACUUGAAUAAUUAAGUUUCAUAAGCGCAAAUACCUCAAACUAAGGACUGGAGUUAUGCAGAACUUUAACCUUGUAUUAGCUUAUAUUGUUCUUUCCUAUGUAGGCAAUUACCAGUUUGAGUGUCCUUUCCAAGUCGGCCGUUGAUAACAUUAAUUUUCACUUUUCAGUCACCCUCCUGAUUAACCUAACUACUUGUAGGUGCAUCUGGCACUAUGAAUGCAUUCCUUGGUUACCUAAUCAGGCUACUUAAGUUUCUAUUCAUCUCUCAUCUACUGCUAUUUAUUCAUUACUCAUUUCUCGAGGGCCAUUCUAUUCAGUCUUUGAAUUCUCUUUAUGAAAAAUCGGCUUUACCUUAGCAGAUACAUCGAUAAAUUUUCAAGUGAGACAUGCAAUUCUUAAGUAGCUUUGUUCCGCAUCCAUAUAUGUUACGAGUUGAUGUGUGAUUUCAUGAGUCAUCUAACCUACUGUUGAUCGGAGGUCCUUACAGCACAGUAAAAAAGUAACCACUCGCGUCUUAGAUUUAAUAACUAGAACUCUUUAUGAAAGUUAAGUGUAAUUUGAAGGCCCAGCAAGUUCUUUUACUAGCUACAAAAUGGAUGUUCAGACCUACAACUGGAGAAAGUGAUUAGCACAAGAUUAGUUUCAGAGGCUAGGUCACAAUUAGGGUUGCUAAAGGGCCUGGGCUGAACCUGCAGAGGCUAAGGAAGGGCCUACAUAGAACACUUAAUGGGCCUAGAUCAAUGAUUGUAUUAGACUACAGGCCUCAACCUGUCUCUUUUAAGACCCUUAUAUGAAUUUAUCUGUUACAAGGUAAUGUCAACUGCAACUGCUAAUUAUUCAGCGUGUAACUUUUCCUACAAAUAUAAAGUGAGCACUGCUUUAUAUAUAUGAUGUAUCUCAAGCUCUACUAGAAUAUAGAAAUAUACACAUAAUAACUAGUGGUUUGUUUUAGUGCUUUAGAGUUGGUUUCUUACGCGGUGUUGUAUUUGCAAUGUAUAAAGAUCAAAUCAAUUACUAACUAAUCGUAUAGUACUAAAUCAUCAAUAAUAUCAUCAUGAUAUGAAUACUCAGUAAUGCUACCUGCACAUCUAUAUAUAGGUGUUAAUCUUAAACCAUAGGAUUUUAUGGUUUAGAUUUAUUCAUUUGUCUUAUCAAAAAAAGAUUAACAAUGAAAACUUAAAAGAGGUUUUUGAACCCUAGAACCAUAGAGUGUAAGAUUUACAUCUUACAAUGGCAUGCACAUAAUAUUAUAUUAAGUAUAUCGCAAUGAGCCAGUUAUAAUAUAAUUUUUAUGAUUUCGCUGUAAAAUGGAGAUGCAUAUUUCUUUAUGCUUUUUAUCCUAAUUCUAUUUUGCUUAAUGACUUCAGAUAACCCCUGAUACCAAAUUGACUCUAAGAAUAGAGUAGGGAUAGGAGAAGCAUUUUGUAUACUUUUACUCCAAUUUUUUUUACCUAAUGACUUUUAGGUUAGAGAUGUAGAGAGAGAAAGAGAGAGAAAGUGCUUAGCUUAGAGAUAGAGAAGCUGAGAUUAGAGAAAGGGGGAGAAAGAGAGUAUAAUUAGAGAAAUAGAGAGAGAGAGAGAAAGGGUGAGAGAGUUAAGAUUAGUAAAAAGAGAUCAAGAGAUGGGAUUAAAGAGAGUAAGAGAGUUUAUGUUUAGAGAAAGAUGAGGUUAGAGAGUAAACGGGAAAAGUAGGUGAUGGAGUGGAGAGAGAGAAAAAUAGAGGGUGGAAUUACGAAUUUAAUGAUUAUUAUAAUUCAUUAAUAUAAAGGUACAUACCUUCUCCCAAUGGAAUAAUAUUAUUACUUUAGUGUGAAUCUCAUUUCCAAAUGAAUCUAAUAUUAUCAAUCAAAUUACUUGAUAUAUUUAGCCAAAUGUCAUCAUUUUAUUUUGUUUCUGUUAGAUUAGCGAAAAUUGUAAAAAAAUAACACAAACUAAAUACAGCUGUAGAACUAAAAUUCUCAUUUAGAAUAUUUCUUACUAUUUCUUCUAUAGAAGUUUCCAAGACCAAACUUUGCCUAGAUUAAUCUAAUUUACCCACGAUUUGUAUUUCGAAAGAUUUUGGGUGAAAUCCGAAUCCAUAUUUUGUUGGCUUAUAGAAUUUCAAUAUGGAUCCAAGAAGGACUAAUAUCAGGCUUAUGAUCGAUUCUCCAAAAAUUCAAACUAGAGUUAGGCAAAUAUGAAAGAAAAACAAAUUUUUACAUCUCAGAUGUUUGUAUCCUCAUUAUGUAUGUUAAUCCAAAAAAAAAGAAUAAUGGGUACAAAUUAUUUGAUAAUAGUCCAAUAUUAAUUAGAUAUAUUUCCAAUCCAAAUGUGUACCCUAGUAAGUCACAUGUAGUCCUAUUCAAUGAUGGUUGUCAAAUAAAUGCUCUUUAAUUAUCUCAUGAGGAGAUCAUAUAUUGUUUAUAAUAACUUCUAUUAGGAAAUUGAUUUUUCUUUUAAGGGAAAAGGGUAUUUCUAUAUUUUUCAAUUUUUUAUUCAUUUUCAUCUUUAUAUAAUAUAUAAUGAAAUAUAUUGAUCUGUAUUAUUAAUAUAUAUAAAUGUCAGUAUACAUAUAUGUAAACCACUUCAAUUAAAGGCCAUUUAUAACCUUUUUUUGUUGACAUAAAUUGUACUAUGUACAAAAGAAAAUUAGUAUUUUUUCACAUGAAAUAAUAAUUAGAGGAAUAAAAGGUUGAUAUAUUUUAUUACGUCCAAAUGUGCAAAAUUGAAAUCAUAGAUUACUUUUCUAAUUAAUACAGUGUGACUAAUUUGGUUACUCUUAUUAAAUACAUUAAAGCAACAUCAGAUUCUUAAGUCAUGCAGAUUUAAAUGGAGCAGAUUCUCCCUUACAUCCCUUAUAUAUUAUUUUUAUAUUUAAAUUUAUUUUAAUUUAGUUAUUUAAAACAUAUUCUAAAAUUAGAUAAAUUAAACAUAAAAAUAACAACAUUUAUCAAAAUAUUAUACUUAUUAAAUGGAUGAACUCCUAUACUAUAUUUUCAAAAAAGAGAACGAGCAAUUUAGGAGAAGAGUCCCUUUCCCCUCAACAACCACAUAACGUAAUAAGCUACAUAAACAUAUUAUCUUACAUUAUUAUUUUACUAUUUUUGCAGGUUCAAAUAUUAUUUUACUAUUUUUAAUAGAGCAAGUACAAUUUCAAUGAAAAUGACUAAGAGCUAAUUAAGCUUUCGCCUGAUCGAGGUGUUAGCCUCGGAUUAAAAAUGAAAGUCCACACGACUUUCUCACCAGGUGUACACUGUUCGUAUUAAGAAAAUAUUAAUUAAACUAAUUGCAAUGAGGAAUGAUUAGGCUUUGACUCAAGGGAUUAGUAGCCAAUGGUUAUACUUUGCUUCUCCUUCCCCAUCAAAAGAUGUAAGCCAUUAUUUUCACAAAUUAUUGCCUACACUUAGUACAUCCGUAUGUACAUUCGUGUCCGUUCAAUAGCUUUUGAUCGUGUAUUAUAUACAGUGCUUGAAUCUUAAAGCAGAUAAUUUAUUGCCAGUUGGACGGUCCUGUUAUGAAUAGCGUAUGAGGAGUUUUUAUGUAUAUAAUUAGAUUUAAAUAUUUCAAACCGGCGGUUUGGAUUCAGUAAGCUGUUAAUAUUAAUAGGUUAAUUCUUUACUUUUGAUAUCAGAACCACUCACAAAUCAGAGUUACUUAAGCUUAAAUAUUUUGGGCUACUGAUUUGAAUACAAUAGAUUGCUAAUUUUAGCGCGGUAAGCUGACUAUAGGAAAAAAGAUAUCUUAUUUUAAUCUCGUAUAUUGAUUAUACAGCAAAGAUUAUUUUAGUUUUUGUUUUGUACUUUAUUUCUGUUUUAAGUGGGCUUAAAAAUUUAUAAUGAUAGUUGAAUUUAAGAGAAAAGCAUUAUGAAAUGCGUUGACAUUUGAUUUUGUUAUACGUUUGUUUAGCACAAUAGUAUAAAUUGAAUGUAUUAUGUAAUAAUAAUAAAUUGUAAAUUUUGGAAGCUGCGUAAAAUGGGAUCUGUUUAUCUAGUUAUGUAUCUAUUAAUUAAUUUACAACCCGAAAAUAUGUUCAAAUAGAGAACUGAUGUAGCAUGCUAAUUAUUAAUUCCAGAAAAAAAAAAUUGCAUGUGAAUUCAAUAAUAAUUCUAAAUUUUUAGAUUUAUUUAGGAAAGUAAUUAAAACACAACCUAAAUUGUAGAUUAAUUUUUAUGUCUAACCUUUUUAAUUAGGUUUGUUAUAGAGGCAUAGCAUGUGUCUUUGAAAUUAUUAAUAAGAAAUAUGUAUAUUAAAUCAACUUAUCGUGGGAAUGUUAAUAUCAUCAUUCUCUAAUUGAGAGAACGAAUAUAAGUUACAUGCUGGAUCUUUUAACAUGACAAAUAAUUUAAUCAAUCGUUUUAUUAUUGAUCACAGCUUUAAAAGUUGUGCGUACAAUGUUUUCAUUGAGCUGGUGCAAGCAAUAAACUUUUUUCUUUCUUUCUUUCUUUCUUUCUUUUUUUCUUCCUCCAUGUGAAAGAAGAUUCCCAUUUGGGGACUACAUCUUUAGUCAACUUCAUUGAAUCAAAACACGUGAGAGGAAAAGUAAAACAGAGUAUGAGAGGUGAAAUAUUCAAAGUAAAUUAUUCAAUACUCUGCCCCACCUCAUUCCAUAUUAGGGAUAAUAUAUUUCCAAAUAGUUAUUUCUUUACCAAACCUCAUUCCAAAACCAUGGCCAUAGUAACAUACAUACCCUAAUUUUAUAUGAAGCAACUAACUGCAAUUGGAACAUUUAUAUAUUAUUUUAUCAAGGCCAACUUUAAAAAAAAAAAAAAAACCCCAAACACCCCUUGUACUUAACAAGAAAUUGUUGUCUACAUUUGGUGUAUCUAUACGUCUUGUGCAUUGCAAAUAAUAUUUGAUGAUCGGUAUCUUAAAAUUUAGAUUAGCAGGUGUAAUCCAUAAAAUGUAAAGAGUUUAUCUUGUGAUGGUAAGUUUUGAAAACCGGUUGUAUAGGCAUCAGGUAAUAGAACAGAAUAGGGGUGGCAAUCCAGCUCGCUGUUCGCGAGCCAGCUCGUGUUCGGCUCGAAAUGAGCUCGAGAUCGAAUCGCUCUUUUAGUAAACGAGCCGAACAUGAGCUGAAUUUUUCAGCUCGUUUAAUAAACGAGCCGAACACGAGCUGGGGUUAGCUCGCUCGUGUUCGGUUCGAUAACAGCUCGAAUACAUAUAUUUUAUACUUAUAUAAUUUAUUUAAUUUAUAUUUUUAUAUAUAAAUAAAUAAUUAUAUAUAAUAUAUUUUUAUUAUUUAAUUUUUAGCGAAAUAAAAAUAUAAAUGCGAGCUUAAUUAUAAAAAGACUCAUUUAUAUGUAAAAUUUUAAUUAUUAGAUCAAAAUCUAAUAGAUAAGAUUUUAUAAAUUUAUUUUUUAUAUAUAUUUAAUCUAAUCCUUUUUAAUUUAUUGUUCGUUGGCCAGCUCGUGAGCCAGCUCGUGUUCGGCUCGUUAAUAAACGAGUUGAAUACGAGCUGAAUUUUUCGGCUCGAUAUUUUAACGAGCCAACCCCAGCUCGCUCGUGUUCGGUUCAUUUACACCCCUAGAACAGAAUAGUGCUCAAGUCAUAAAAAGUUUUUUGCCUAUUUUAAUCCUUUAGAAAUGGAUUUAAAGUAAUUGAGUUUCAAACUUAAGACGUUAGGUACCCAUUAUUAAGUUUGUAGCCAAUUAUGUAAGAUGAGGUUGGUGCUCGAUUAAUAAAAAGAUGAUGUGUGAAAUUUAUGAUUCUUAACAUGUAAGGCUUAUGAAUGGCGUUGAAUACAUCCACUGAAUUAGAUUCUAAUUUUAGGUUCUCCAUAAUAGAAUUUUAGCAAUACAGUAUACGAGAGUUAGGUCCUAAUGUUGAAAUAACUUAUUCAAUGAUAACUUGCAUGAUAUGAGAAUCUUCUUUUCAAGUUUGAAAUUAGGAGUCUGAAUUUUGCUCAGUGAAAGAUUUGUUGUCCGUAAUUUAAUACAAUAGCAUAUUUUAUCUAUAAGAUAAUUUAUUUUAUUUCGAAGAAAAUAACUUACAAGCUGAAUAUCAUCUGUUAGAGAGUACAAAAUUUUUAAACAAGUUAAAAAGCUAUGCUGAACAAAAAACUUAUGUAUUCAAAUAGGGCCUAAGUGCACGUAUUAUUCUAAUAAGGAAAAACUUCAAAUAUCAUUCCUGUGGUUUCACAUUUUUUCACUUUAGUAUUUUGUGAUGUAAAGUGUAUUAAUUUAGUGCCAUGUAGUUUCAUUUUUAUCUUUUUAUUAUUAAUUUCACCAAUUUUUUUGUUAAAUCAGUGACAAAGUUAAAACUAAAUAGUACUAAAGUGAAUAUUCGAUAAACUUAGAUGGAGUAUUUGAAAUUUUUUGUAUGUAAUUUAACGAAAUCUUAACGGAAAAACUGACGAAAAGAUAAAAAUGAAAUCACAUGAUAUUAAUUUGAUACACUUUAAACCACAGGAUAAUAAAAUGAGAAAGUGGAAAACCACAGGUGUGGUAUCUGAAGUUCAUCCUUCUAAUAAUACUAAUACACUUGGUUCACGCAAUAAUUUGUUUCUUCUAACCACCGUAUGUGCUCUGCUAUGUCCUUGGUCAGAAUCCUCGUUCCACCACACGUAUAUAGACAUAUACAUGUAAACUCCUGAGUCAUGGGUUUAUUGUAACACACAACACACAUUCCUCUUCUCCAAUCCAACAUUCCAACUAUGGGGUUCAUCACCCCAAGAACAUCAUCUCCUUACACCAUAACUCUCCUCCUCAUCCCCCCAGCUUUGCUUGCCCUGACUUAUCUCAUCCCCCUCCCCGACUUCUUCGCCCCCUGCGCCGCUCCGCUGCUGUUGUCGUCGUCGUCGUCGACCCCGUCCCCUCCCCCCGACCCCGAAUUCCGCCUCCUCAUCGGCAUCCUCACCCUCCCCAACCGCUACGCCCGCCGCCACCUCCUCCGCCACGUCUACUCCCUCCAGCAACCGACGAGCCCCUCCUCCGUCGCCCGCGUCGACGUCCGCUUCGUCUUCUGCAACGUCACCGACGAGGUCGACGCCACGCUCGUCGCCCUCGAGGCCGCGCGCUACGGCGACGUCGUCGUCCUCGGCUGCGACGAGAGCAUGAACACCGGAAAGACGUACACGUUCUUCGCGAGCCUCCCCGACAUGCUCGACGGCGACGGCGGCGACGGCAGCACGACGAGUCGGCGGGCGCCGUAUGAUUACGUGAUGAAGACGGACGACGACACGUACUUCCGUCUGGACCGAUUGGUGACGUCACUGCGCGGCCAGCCGACGGAGGACUUCUACUACGGCGCCGGCCUCCCCUUCGCCGACCCCAAAUUCCCCCCCUUCAUGCUCGGCAUGGGGUGCGUAAUUUCCCAUCUUUUAAAUACUCCCAAAUUUAAAUUUAAACUUUAAAAUUUGAAUCCAAUUCACCAAUGUAUGGUCGUUGUUCCCUUUUUUUUUUUUUUUUUGUAAUCAUUUACUAAGGAGGAGGUGUUUGGUUUAUCAAAAAUACUUUGGACUUUUAACCAAAAAAAAAAAAAAAAUCGUCUAUUUCAUUCUCAGAAAAAACAGUUUUAUUCUGGAAAAAUAUUUUAUGUUUAUUUGAAUUUUCAAAAAAAUAGUUUUCUUCAAAAAAAAUUUAAGAGAUCUUAUAGAAAAGUCUCCUUUUCGUUAACGUAAAAUGAGCUAUCUAGUUAUUCUAACAUUUGACUUAAUUAACAAAUUCAACGAGUUUUUACAGUGAUUAAUUAGUACCCAAAGUAUUAUUAUUGACUUUUCCAUGAAAACUACCUAAAUUUUGCAUAAUGAUUUUGUAAUUUUACAUAUAUUAAUGUUUUAUAAAAAAAAUAAUCAAAUCAUAAAUACGUGACACCGUUGACGCGUACUUAUUUAUUAUCAAAAAAAAGUAAUAUGUUAAUGUUUUAAUAUUCAACAGGUAUAUAUUAUCGUGGGAUUUGGUGGAAUGGAUUGCCACGUCGGAUAUUCCACGUAAGAACGCGGUGGGGCCCGAGGACAUGUUAACGGGGAAAUGGUUAAAUACGGGGAAUAAGGCGAGGAAUAGGUAUAAUACGGUCCCGUAUAUGUACGAUUACAAGGGCCCUACUUCGGGGGACUUUUUGGUGGACACCAUAGCGGUGCACCAGCUCAAGGAGAAUUCGAGGUGGGCCCACACGUUGAAGCACUUUAACGUUACCAAGGGAUUAGAAAAACCCUCUAAAUUUUACCAUUUUUCUUAAUUUUUUUUUUCCCUUUUUGUGGGGGUUUUAUUUUUUGUGUUUUGGGGGGGAAUUGGUUUAAUUGUAAUAGAUUUUUUUUUUUUACAUAUAAUUUACGUGAUUUAAUUUGUUAGAAGAGGAACAAAAGUUUACAAAUUUCAGUAUUUGUUUGUGAAUUAAAGUUUGGAUUUUUUUUUUUUUUUUUUUUACUGAUGUUUACUAAAAAUUUUUAUAUUAGUAUACAAGAAGGUGAAAGCAUUUAAAGCAACUAAUUUUUUUUAGUUUUUUUUAAUCUCUUUUUUUAUGUAAUUUGUUUCGUUGUCAAUUUGAGCAAAGUUAAUUAUGGCGUUUUGAAAAGGUUGAGUUAAGAUCGAAAUUAGUUUAUAACAAAUCAAAUAGCGAAAGUAUGUAUUUACUAAAACAAAUUGGGUCAUAGGUGCUAUUGAGUCUUUUAAUUUUAGUGUUUUUUUUUUCCCUAAUUUUUUAGACUAAUUGAGGUUUCUCUUGUUAAAUAUAUCCCCAACUAAUUAAAAAUUGAUAGGAAAUAUGCUUUGAAUGCUUAGUCAUUUAUUAAAGAGUACUGAGAAAAAAAUUCUAGGCACCAAAAUGAUAUUAAUGUAUAUUUAAUCUUUUUUUCAAUACUUUAAUUACAUUGUAAUAUUUCUUAAAUUAACACUACGAUUAUAGUAAGAAGCGCACGAACAAAAUAAAUUUUAAAUUUAAGUUGCAAUGGAUGCGUAAAACAGUUUUGCCUCGUUAAGAAGGAUUUUCGAAGGGAUAAAUUUUGAUCAUGAAUAUAUAGCAUUUUAAAGGGAUAAAUUUUAACCAUAACCAGAACCCGCGAUUUAUAGCUUAAAGAUGAGACCAAUUAUUAUGUAUAAAACAUGGACUCGAAAACUCUAUCAUCAGAAAUAAUAUGAGUAUGAUAUUCAUAGAAAUAUAAUAACUUGUGUGCAAACAUAUAUACACAAGCACGCAAAAUAGGCAUACAUAAACAUGCAAACAUGCAUAAACACGCAAAAAUUACGUACAUAUUUAAUAAAAGGGAUAAUAUUUUCUUCAAAAUUUUAAAAAUAUCUAGUUUACUCGUGGUCGACUAAAAUGCCUUUGUUUAUUUAAAAAAAAUCAAAUAUACCUCUGCCCUCUAGGGUUCACUAAUAAGAUUGGGGUUUUUAGAAGGAUAUUUUAGGAAAUAUGGAGUAAAUUUAAAAAUUUUGAAUAAUAGGAAGGGAUAUAAAAGCAAAAAAUCCCAAUUUAUAUUUAUGCAUGCAAUAUAUAUAAAGAGAUUUUCAUAAUAAAUUUUUUAGAAAUAAAUAAUGAUUCUGGAUUAGUUUAUGUGAUCGAAUCAUCGAGAGAGGUCCAUUAACUCUUAUAAUUAUUUUUUGCAAAAUAAGCAUGGUGUAUAUAUAUNCAACCAGACUCUAUAUAUAUAUAUAUAUAGAGAGAGAGAGAAAGAGAGAGAGAGUUCUAUUACUAUAUAUAUUAUCGAUAGUGAUCAAACGUUUUGUGCUAUCGAAUUUUUUGUUAUUAAAUUUAUCUCUUUGACUAAUUUUAUCCAUUAUAUUAUACUAUUAAACUAACCAUUCACUCAAUUUUAGAUAAUCACUAUUAUUCUAAACGCGCAUCUUUUCAUCUAAGAAUCAAAAAUCGCUUAGUACUAUAAUAGUAUAGUAGUCUAAUUUUAUAUAUAUAUAUAAAAUUAAAAUUAAUGCUACAAAUGCUUCGUAGAACAUGCCAAGUUGCACCAUGCACGUUGAUGAAAUUAAAGAGGGGGAAUUAAUUAAUUACUAAAUAUUAUCCUAUAUAUUCUUUUUGGUAGGUAAAUAAUUUUGGUUUGUUAUAUUUCGAGAGCAUUAAAAAAGAGAACAAUUGAAAAAAAAAAAAUAAUACUGCAAAAUACAUUCUCAUAUACAUGACAUAUCUCUUACAACGUGCCAUGAAUUGCGUGCAUAAUUUGGGACCUUAUAAAAUUAAUUAAAUGAAUACAUUUUAAGUUUUAUAGAUAUAUUUAUUUUAAGCCUGAAAUAAAUCGAGUCACGCAUGUUAAAUUAGAUCUGAUUUUCUUAUGUGAUUUUGUUUUGGUUUUUGCAACUACACUAGUAAUUAACUAAUAAGUUGAGUUCGAAAUCGAAACUGAAACCAACGAAAAAUAAUAUAUAUGUGUACGUACAUGAAUUUAUAGAAUUAUAUACCAACACUUCAUCAAAAUAUACCCUAUUAUUUUGAAUUUUGUUGAUAAUUUUUUCACUAUUGUAGAGUCAUUAAGAUAAAAUUGUGUUUGGAUUUCCAUUUGAUUGGUUAAAUUAAUUAAUUUGGGAGUUAUUUUCCCAAAAAAACCAAAUAGAAUUCGUACAUUGACAUUCUUAGGUACGUAGAACCUCACAUCUCAGAUCCAUUAUUAUAUAAAUUUAAUGUCCAUGAAGAUGCAAAUUUUAUACCCUAUUAUAUUAAAUUCAAUCAUCGUGUGGAAAUAGAUAAGUUUUUUUAUUUUUUAAUUAAUUGAUCAUACUAGAGAUUAGUGGCGAUUACGUAUGGUAAAGCUCAACCAGAAAAGGACUUCAAAAAAUUAAUUUACGUGUUGAUUUACAAGAAAAUGAAAGAAACUGAUAAAACAAAUUGGUCAAGGAGUGAGCGAAAACAGGUUUUAGAUAUGAGUGAUCAUAAUGCAAGGUUUAAUUUACAAUGAGUUUAAAUGAGUGCUCAAUUAUUUAAUUUCAUACAUAGUGAAAUAAUCAGAGUCGUAUUUCAAGUAGGGAUAUAUAAUUUAUUUUUUAUUUAUAAAUACUCACUUUAAUUCUUAUCCCAUCUUACCUAAUUAAACGCUAUUUUUCUUAUUCUCAGGAAUACUCAAUUUUCAUCCAAACGCAAAAUUCAUCAAAUCCCUGCUUAUACCUCAAUUUAUACCUAUUUUCGGAAUAUCCACUUUUUGCUUAUUUCCGAACCAAACGAUACCUUAGAGAUGAGCAGGAUUUUAUCCCUACAAGUAAGGGUGUAAUGUGAGCCGUAUUGGGUCGGGCACGGUCCACAUUCAUCCGGGCCAAACCGGGCCACAGGUCAGCCCGUCCCGGCCCGGAUAAAAUUCGGCCGGGCCGUUCCGGGCUGAAUUUUAUGGAUUCCCCGCCCGACAUGGCCCUCUGGCCCCGAUGGCACAGGUCGUGCCGGACCAGACCGGGUUCCGUACCAGCCAUUUAAUUUUUUAAUAUUUUAAAAAUAUUUAAAAUAUUAAAAAAUAAAAAAGUAAAAUGGUUCUUCUUCCGGUUAAUAUGUUAAAUCAAAAAAUAAAAUUUAGUAAUUUAUAAAGUAAUAAAAUUUUUAAAUAAUUUUAAAAAGUUAUGAAACUUUGAAAUUUUUUUAAAAAAUCUUUUUCUCCAAAGGUUUCUGAACAAUAAACCUUUGGAAUAAAUGUUCAUCCCCCAAGAAGGGCCUUGGGCCGUGCCGGGCCACGGGCCAAGCUAUCGGCCCGGCAUGGCCCAGGCCCAUAGCGGGCCUAGCGGGAGCGGCCCAGCACGGUCCGGCACGGGAUCUACAUGGCUAACUCAGAAAGUCAGAAACUUUUCAAGAAUAUAUAAGUAAUUGACCCAAUAUUUGAAAUAUAUUUAGUUUUUAGAAUAAUAUUUAAUUGCUAUAUAUUUAGUAAAUUGAUCAAUCAUACUUACUAAUUUGACAUAUGAACAAAAAAAAAUGGAGUGAUAAAUUGACAAUAAUAAAUCAAAAUUGGAAUUAGGGUUUGGCUACAUUUGUGUUAAAUCCCAAGUGGUCCGGCCUAAACCGGCCCAAACCGGCCCAAGAUAUGGGCCGGGCAGAACCCUUGCAAAAUAACCUGGGCUCGACCUAGGCCCAGCAUUCUCCUGAACCAUUGAUUCUAGAUCCAAGUCUCCCUUUUUUGAACUUUUGUUUUUUGUUUUUUUUUUUAAUUUAAGGACAAACUUCAAUUUAUCCUACUGCAGUUUAACAAUUUUUUUUAUUUUGUUAUUCCGCGGUUUUAAAAGUUACACUUAACCUAUGAUUCAAAAAAUUUCACUUUAAACAAUUUCACUUUCUACCCUAUCGGCGACAUGUUUUUUUUAGUGAAACAGAAUUAAAACCCCAUUCAUAUUUUAAGAAAAGUUUCAAAUUCAAAAAGGAUAUGCAAAUUACCUGCAGGUGUUUGGGAUAAGAUAGGACACAUGAAAUGCUUCUUCUCCAUCUAGUAAUUUGAUUAGAAAUUCGAAGAAAAAGUUCACGUCUUGGGUCUAAAAAAUUUGGUUGAUUUCGUUUGGCGUAUGUAAUGUUGAUAGUAUGGUUAGAAAAAUUGAGUAAGAUCAAGGCGAUCAAACAUAGGAUCUCCUGCUUUAAUACCAGAUCAAAUUAUACUGAAAUAAUUUUUUUUUUUUCCAAACACUAAAUCUAUCAAAAAAAAUAGUAAUGUAAUUUUUUAAUAUUCAUUAAUUUUAUUUCUCAACUCAUCAUGGUCCCUAGAAGUAGAAGAAAAAUUUACAUUAAUAACAAAAAGAGAUCAUGAAUUUGAAAUAUAGGUAGCAAUUAAAUCCAACAGCUCUAUGUAUUGUAAUUAAUACCUACUCAUAUCAUGAUCAUUAAAUAUUUUUCUACGAAAAGUACAUAAAUACUUUGUACUUCAUUAAUUAUUAUUCAAUUACAAUUUACGCCAACUAUGCAAUAUAUUCAACUCUCUUAAUUAAUUCAGAAANAAAAAAAAAAAAAAAAAAAACCCAUGACUUAUUUUAGUAGUUAAUAAUUAAUUAUAUUAUUUGUACUUUGUUAACUUUUCACUUUACUCAUCUUAAUUAGGGACCCCCCCACUGUGUGUUUUCAUAUGCCUAGCCCUACAUAGAUGAUACGGAAUUAAUUGUUUAAUUUGAUAUAUUUUUAUAAAUUCAAAGUACAUUAAUUCAUCUUAUUUUUUUAAAAAAAACUAAAAACAUUAUUGUGAUAAGUGUUAAUUUUGUAGCUAAUUAAAGAGGUUUACAUGUGGUCAAUAACAAUUAUUCGCGUGCUUCGAUCAAACUGAUAUAUAAACCUUUUUUUUAUUUUUUUAAUUUAUUUUUUUGGUCAAUGAGACUAUAAUUAAUUAAACAUUUUGAUCCACAUGCACCGAUCUCUACGUCUCACGUGAAAAAAGUGGACACGGCCAAAUCCUUUUGCUUGAUCAUGAAGUCAACUCGCACGUAUUAUUAUUUUACAUCAAUUUUCGUGCUCCAUGGUUUCAUGCAAUUCUCGUCAACUCUGCAUGCGCCUCGAGAUGAGACCUAGAUUCUCGUGUCAAUCUCGAGUUACGAAAUUAUUGCGUGCACCAGGUGUAUUCUUUAAUUAUAAACACCGCAUCUUAAAAUCUGAUUAUUAUUAUUUUAAAAUCAAUAUUCAAUUUGAUAAGAGAUCAGAGAAUCAUAUCACUAUAUUUACGAGGAUGGUGCAUGGUGCACUAGAUGAAGAAAUAAUUCUUUAAAUUUUUAUUUGUAUUUUUUUCCCCCUUUUGAAUAUGAACAAGCAAUAAGUACUCCUCUAUAAGACUCAACAUCAACUUCGCCUUUUAUGCCGCUUCCUCUCACAUGCUUUGUUGGUCUUGGUUUUCCCCUCACAUGCUUUGUUAUAUUAGUUCUACUAAAUUCAUUAUAUUAUUAUUAUGUAUUAAAAAAGAAAUACUAACAUUAAUAUUGUGGUCCUUCACCACCAUAAACCAUCUCCAAAAUACUUUGCGUAAAAAGCAAACUUCUUAAAUUGAGCAUUCAAAUUUUAAUUACUAUGAUAGCAGUCCCAAGGACCAUGUAACUUUGAUAGUUUUUUUUUUUUUUUUUUUUUUCGUUUUUGGUCGGGUUUUUUUUUUUUUUUUUUUUUUUUUUUUUUUUUUUUUUUUUUUUUUUUUUUUUUUGGGGCAACUCAAUAUGCGCAAAGAAAUUUUUUACACACUAUUUGUUUGAUCAUCAAUCAUUUGGGCCUUUUUAUUUUAGAAUAAUUAAAUAGAUUUAUGCUAUGUUGCAACCAUGUAAAAAAUUUCUGCACACUAAUUAAUUUCUAGAGAUUUGAAAAUUUGUCUAUUAUAUUGCAUCAAUCUUAUCAAUAUAUAGUAAAUAUGUUAGAACUAGUCAAGGCUAUAACAAAUAAACAAAUUAUUUUAAUUAUUAAAUAAAAAAUUAAUGGCGACAAUUUCUAACAAGUGAUCAUGUAAUUCUUCGCUCUCUCCACUUUGAAUCAGAGUAGAUCAUGAUAGACCAUAAUCACGUAGUCUUGCGUCAGAAACUGUUUCCAAUAAAUUUUUAUCCCUAAUUAUUUUAAAAAAUAAUACUAUAAAUAGAAGGAAAAUUGUAAUGUAUCUUAAGCUUACAUAAAAUUAAAAUGUUGUUUAUUAACUAAAACAAAACAAGAACCCGCACCACAUAAAAAUUACUAUGACAACUUCUUAAAUUAUUACGAAUGCUAUAAUUUUACAUGCACGUGGAGAGCGUAGCAAAAUUCAAAAGGGCAAAACUAGCUCUGGUCAAUGAAUGAUCUAUGAUGUGGAAGUACAAGUCCACACCAAAUCAAAAUAAUCUCCUCUCUCAAAAGCCCCUCCUCCAUAAGUAUCUCUCCCAUAGUUACAUAGGAGUGGUGCAACUCUACCUCCAUUGGACUCAACAAGGAGCAAAGUUGCACCAAAAGUCUCAGCCAUGGUGGUGCAUAAAACCCAAGUGCUCCCUCUCUCCUCCGACGUCCCCGUCAGCGCCGCCGUGACGAAGAAGCCGCUGUCCGUGUUCCCCAAACCCUCUUUCGCCGCCGGCGUCCUCCUCCUCCUCCCCUUCUUCCUCCUCGCCUUCAUCUACCUCUUCCUCUUCCCCCAGGAGUUCCAGCUCCAGUCCUUCAUUGCCUCCUGCAACCCCAUCGCCGCCUCCUCCUACGUCGGCUCCUCCGACGCCCUGACCACUCGCGUCACUCGCGAGCCCGACUUCCGCCUCCUUAUCGGUGUCCUCACCCGCGCCGACCUCUACGAGCGGCGCCACCUCCUCCGCCUCGUCUACGCCCUCCAGAUGGCCAACCUCACCGCGCACGUCGACGUCCGCUACGUCUUCUGCCGGCUCUACAAGGACGACCAGCGCAUCCUCGUCCCUCUCGAGAUCAUGCAGUACGUACUGUUAAAAUAGCCAGCCGAAGUCCUGUCGGGAUGCAUAAAUAUCUUGUUCGGUAUAUAUUUAGAGCGUGGUCAAAUACAUAGAAUGAAAUGAUAUGUAUAUUCAGCCUUUUAACUCAUUUUUUUAAAAAAUAAAUCACUUUAUAGAUGAAAUAUGCUAUAUAUAUCUUACUAAAAAGUCUUCGGAUAACUUAAUUUUGACAUCCAAAUAAUUCUAUAACUUUGUAUUCAAAAGGCACGACGACAUCAUUAUCCUCGACUGCGAGGAGAACCUCAACGACGGGAAGACCUACACCUACUUCUCGAGCAUCGCGAAGCUCUACGGCGGCGGCAGCGGGGCCGAGGGCGGCCGACGGCCGCCGUACGACUACGUCAUGAAGGCGGACGACGACCUAUUCGUGCGGCUCCUGACGCUGAUCGAGUCGCUGCGGCCGAUGCCGCGGGACGACAUGUACUACGGCGCCGUGAUCCCCUGCGAUAGCAUGGACCCGUUCCGAGACUACAUGUCGGGGAUGGGGUACAUCCUGUCGUGGGACCUGGUGGAGUGGAUCGGGUCAUCGGAGGCGGUGCGGAACAAGUCGGCGGGCGUCGAGGACAUGCUCACCGGAGAGUGGCUGCGCACGGCGGGGAAGGGGAAGAACCGGUUCAACGCGAAGCCGGCCAUGUACGACUUCCCUAUACCAGUGCCGAUCGACGCGUGCUCGCACGGCUUCGUCCCCGACACCGUCGCCGUCCACCGGCUCAAGGACAACCCCAAAUGGGCCACCACCUUGAAGUACUUCAACUUCACCCAGGGUUUGAAACCAUCCAAGUUUUAUCGUAUAGAUUAAUUGAACGUUUUUUUCUCUUAAUUUCUAAGGAGUUUGUAGUUUGUAACUUGUAUACGUACGUUACUUGGACAGAUAAUGUGGACACACAAUGCUAGCGCCACUUUGUUGAGUAGCUUCUAAAAUUUAAUUUUAAUUUAAGAAUUUUUUAUUUAAAUUUUAAUACUGUAUUAAUUAAACAGUGAAUUUAGAUAGAGUCCAGUGAAGGGGAAAAAAAAAACAAAAAAGAGUUCGCAUAUGGCGUAUAUAUCAAAUGUUUCAAACAAAAUAUGAAGGAGCUCCUCAAUGAAGUCACUCAUAAAAUGCAUAAAUUAUACUUCAAUUUAUUUAUUCAUAAACAUUGACCUUGCUUAACUCCUAUAUAAUAAAUAAUAUGAUAAGACGAGAGGUCGUUAAUAUAGAAAGAGGUUUUAAAAACUCAGAGGCCUCAAUAGAUCUGUUUAAAUGCAAUUAUAUUUCAUUUUGGAGCAGUCCCUUAUGUCAGAUAUUAAUCAUGAAUAUAAAAAAAUAUGUAUUAGUCUAGACCGGGGAUACCUAUACUCUUAUAAGUAUGACCCUUUUAUAAUCAUAAAUUUUCGGCUAUUGGAUAAAGAGAUAUGCGAUUAGGAUAAUAAUGGUCUCAGUUAAGAUGAUUAUGUUCUCCUAGGAGCUGUUUGGCUCGGGUAUAAAAGAGGAAAUAAAGAGAAUAUUCCCUCUUUAUACCCAAAUAAAAAAAGAGGGGGGUGGGAAUUAUUGUUCCCAUCUUACCGGGGUAAGGUGGGAACAAUAGUUCCCACCCGGUUGGAAACAAGCUUGUUCCCACCCACGAGAGAGAGAGAUAUUGAUUCUGAUUUUAAAUUUAAAUUUUUAAAAUUUAUAAUUUAAAAUUAUAAAUUUUAAAAUUUAAAUUUUAAAUUUGAUAUUUUUAAAUUUAAAUUUUAAAUUUGAUAUUUUUAAUUUUUAAAUUUAAAAUUUGCUAUUAUAUUUUUUUGAAAUUUAAAUUUGGUCUUAAAUUUAAAAUAUGAUAUUUAAAAUUAUAAUUUUAAAUUUUAAUUUUAAAUUUUAAAAUUUAAAAGUUAAAAUUUUUAAUUUUCAAUUUAAAAUUAUAAGUUUAAAAUUUAAAAAUUUAAAUUUAAUUAUAGGGAUAAUAUUAUUAUUAUCUAUUUAUAACUGAUAACUAUUCCUCUUAUUCUCAAUAACCAUCUAAACGCAAUUUUUUUAGUUCCAACUUAUACUCAUAUUUACAUCCAAACAAAAAAAUAUUCUUGUUCUUAUAAAAAUUCAUAUUUGUAUCUAUUCCUGGUAUAACUAGUUCCUACUAAUUCCGGAACCAAAUCUCUUUAUACUUAAGUUUUCGACCGUUAGAUCUAUGUUUUUGAACAAUUUCACCUGUUAGAUUAUACUAUUCAACCAACCAUUCAUUCAACCCUAGAUAAGAGUAUAGUAGCCGGACUCAUUAAUCUAAUUAACUAGUUAGGGAGGUAAUUAUUAUUAUCUUUAGACUAAAAAUUUUCAACAUAAAAUUAAUUGUACUUCUUGUAUCUUAUUUUCAGUGGUUUAAAAAGAUUUAAACUGAACCGACUGAAUAAUCUCGCUACAGUGAUGCUUUAAAUCCGGUUCGGCUCGGUUUAAUAAAAAAAAAAUAUACGAAAAAUCGCACCGAACCGGCCUAUGUUAACGGGCCGGGCUCAGCCCCGAACUCUAAACCUCCGAGCCCAACUCAGGCCCGGGCUUAAAUCCUUUUGCUCCCUCUCCCCGACCCCACCUUCUCCCUCUUCUCGCCGGCGCCGGCGACGCGGUGCCACCGCGACGGCGGCGGCGCCGCCGUGCUCCGCCGCCUCGGUAUCUUCCUCGGCCUCUCCUUUCAUUCGUCGGAGUUCCUCCCAUUAACAAUGUAUGGAUGGAAACGAAACCCUAACGAUCUCAAUCGCUUACACUGGUGCAUUUUGAUCCCUUUUUUGUGAACUGUUCCUUUGAUUUGAUAUCUCUGCUGAGUAGCAAUAGUUGAUGAAUUAUCGAGUGAAUUGUGCAGAUUAAUCGAUCCUCAUUUGAUAAUGAGUUCUUCAGAUUGGGAUAGUUUAGGAAAAUAUGUGCAAAAUGAUGUAUUUUACAUUGUUCUAGAUUAGGUUGAUACCUUAACAAUAUUAAACAUACCAAAUUUGUUCUUGAAUCUUAGGGUAUGCUCAUACCAAGUAGGGUUUAAUCCUGCGUCUAGCUUGAGAAUGAUUCAACUGUAGAUAAGUAAACUAGAAUACAGAUCAAGCUCAAAUUCUGUUUAAUUUUAGCCUGAGUAUAUGGUUCAUUGCUUAAUUCAAGCAAAUAUAACUCUUGUGAUGUCGUGUUUAGACUUGCACUGGCAUAUAUUUUUGCCCUUUGAUCUAUGUCAUGAAUAUGUUUUGGUGAUAUAGAUUUGAGUUUGAUCCAGUUAGAGUUUGUCUCAAGUUGCAGCUCGGAACAAAUCUCAAUCAUAAAUAGAAAGAUUGGGACUGGUUGUUUGUUUUUGAACCCGGGAUUUAGCCGGCACAAGUCAUUCAUGAUUCACUUGAACUGUUUGGCAUAUGCAGGAACUGGACAUAGAAAUUUAGAUGUUUCUUAAGUAGUCUUUCAUUACUAUUAUUUAUUUAUUUGUUAUUAUUUGAGACUUGAGUAAUUAUUUAGAUACUUGAAAUUUAGGAUCAUAUAAUGAACUUUAGGAUCACUGAUAACUACAUUACUGGGCUUGGCUUCAAAGAGAAAACUACGAUAACUUAUCGUCCACCGGUGUCUCUCGAACAAUCAACAAAGCCACUGACUCAGACUCCUCUCUUCCUGCUUGGAAAUUGGGGUCUUUCGGAGAUACAAUUAAGUCAUUAUCUUGCAACCCUCUAUUAGAAACCAAUAUAAUCAAAUUUUUUAUUUUUUAAGAUGUUUAUAGAUCACACAUACACACUCUUUUUCACAUGUGUAUAAUUCGAAUUCUAGAUCUACAUAUGAGAAAGCGGAUACAUAUCACCUACUCUAAAAUGUGGCUUUUUGUAUUAUAUUAGUCAUUAGAGGAGAGUCUCUACCUUGCUGGAACUAGUCCAACAACAUUAGUGUUACAAGAGUACUGUUUGAUUGGAUAUGCAUUUGUGGGCAUUCAAGUGUGUCACUGUGUAUGUCUUGCGUGCUUAUCACUCUGCUUGUACUCCCUACAACAUGCUCUCCAGUUCAGCUACAAGGACCAAAACAAAGGCGCCUCCAUUUUCAACCCACUUGCAUUGAGAUUGGUGCUGCACGGGGCAGGCUGUGUCUGUGUUUGUUUGAAGUUGGUACUAUCCGAUUAGAUUGAUUGAAGCUUUAUGGCGAACUCUAAUAAGGUGAAGUUGAUUAGUCAAUUUUCGCCUCCUGCGUAUAAUAGUAGCUAGUUCGACAACCUUUUAGGCUUCAAGUUCAUCUCGAAUGCUAUGUCUAAUUUGAAUCUAACAAUUCAAUUGCGCCUGAUUUACAAUUUAAGUAAUGAACUUGAUAUAAUGCUUCACGGAAUAGAAGGUCUCUUAGCUUUUCUUCUUAUAUAUGUUUACGAGUUAGUAUUUGAAACACUCGGUAGUUGUGAUUUAAAAUUCUCUAACAUGUACACCGCUAAUUCAUCAGUAACAUUUCGAGAAAGUUUAAGAAAAUGUAGUGGUAUUUGUGACGAUAUUUAUGUUCAAAUUUUGACUUAUAAGUUCUACUUUGAAUAUAUUUUUGUUAUAUUAGUACCAGCAUUGAAACCCUAUGCCUCAUCCCAUGUGCUAGGGAACACUACUAACCUAUCCAGGUGGGGCAUUGGGCACUAGGCAAUCCAGUACAGGGUGGAGAAAGAACCAAAAGAUAAGAUUAAGAAAGAGAGUGGGGGGAAGAGUGAGGGAAUAUAUGCCUUCGAUCUCAGUAGCACCAGGUCCACAUGUGAGAGUCCUUUUAUAUUUUAUUCAUUUAUUGAUCACUGUAGUUGUUUUAGAAACCUUAUGAACCUUUGGAUUCUACUGCCCCAUCAGACCUUUUCACCCUCUGCUCCCUCUGAUUCGAUUCUCUGUAUAGAGACCAAUUAAAUACGGGCUCUAUAGUACGUUACACUCUAGAGAAAAUGUUAUAUAUGUUCUUUGUUUAAUCCAUCCUAUGACCUCGUUGGAUUGAUCUCUUUUGAGUAGUUAAAUACAUGGUCCAAUAGGUGGCAAGAGAUUGUAUAAAAUUUUGUAAUAAGGGAAUAGGGGAUAGGGAUUUGCAUCACUAAUCGAGGGGGUUUAGACCAAUUAUGAGCCUCUUGUUUGCUGCUUCUUUGUUUCUGCAGGUUCUCCAAGGAUGUUGGGAAGUGGGUCAAAGCUGGUUCUUUGCUGAAAUUAAUGGUUGUGGAGGUUUCUCCAAUGCUUCAGUUUUUUUUUUUUUUUUUUUUUUACCCAGGAGAUCGAGAUCAUUUGGCAACAUAGUAUUACUAUUGCAGAUUUAAUCUAUUUUAGAGUAAACUUUUAUUAGAAUUUAAUUUAUAAAAUGUUAGAGGUGAGGAUUGAGUUCACCAUGAUGCGGAAGUGGAGGAGUUUAAAUUUCAUUCUAGGGUUAAUUUCUUCAAUGCACUCCUCAAAAGUGAUAAUUUCAUGAAUAUCCCUUCAAAGGGUAAAAUAUUAUUGGUGCUCUUUUAUAUAUAAAGGAAAAACUUCAAAAACGCCUCAUGUGGUUUUGUACUUUUUUAUUGUAAUACCCUGUGAUUUAAAGUGUAUUAAGUUAGUAACCUGUGGUUUCUCACUUUAUCACUUUAGUACCCUGUGGUUUAAAGUGUAUCAAAUUAGUACUUUAUGAUUUAUUUUUGUAUCAACUUAGUACCCUGUGGUUUUAUUUUUGUAUCAAGUUAGUAUCCCGUGGUUUAAAAACCACAGGGUACUAAAAUAAUAAAGUGCGAAACCACAUGAUACUAAAGUGAUAAAGUGCGAAACCAUAUGGUAUUAACUUGAUACACUUUAAACCACAGGGUACUAAAGUGAUAAAGUGCAAAACCACAUAGUACUAACUUGAUACAUUUUAAACCACAGGGUACUAAAGUGAGAAAAAGUGAAACCACAAUGGGGGUAUUUGAAGUUUUCCCAUAUAUAAAAGAGUUUAGGGUUUAGAGGAAGGGCCUAGGGUUUAGUGGAGUAUUUGUGAUAGAUUUAUAUAUUUAGAAGAGUAUUUAUAAUAGAUUUAUGUGUUUAGAGGAGUAUCAAUGAUUUAGAUUUUGAAACAGCAUUUAUAAUAUUUUUUGGAGUUUUAGAGAGCUAUGUUUGAAACUGUCUCUUCAUUCUAAUAAUAUAAUAUAUCAAGUCACUCAAAAGUACAAUCUUUUUUGUAACAAUUUUGCAUGUUGCUAUGAUAGAUUGCUUAUAAAUUGAUAAAUAUAUGUGGCAUCUUUGAAGCAUUUAUAUAAGUAAUCGAAAGCCUCUACAGGAUUUGUAGAGACAUAUUAAUAAUCUGUAAGGAUAAUAUUUUAGAGUACAUAAGCAAACUAAUAGUUUAUCUGCCUCUGAGGAGUAGAAGAGGGUCAAAUGCAUGGUCGAAUGUAGUUCUUUUUAACAGGAUAUGAAUAAAUUGUUUUGUGAUAUGUGCAAGUUAAUUAUACAACUUCAAAUUUUAUUCAUGUGAACUUUUGUAUAAAUGGGCAUACAGUAAGUAUUACUCAACCUAAACACAAGUGCCCUUUUCUCUCUCUCUCUCUCUCUCUCUCUCUCUCUCUCUCUCUCUCUCAAUGCCUGUGCCAAUAUAUUGUAUUAGAAUUUUUCUUGGGUUAACCACAUAUAUAUCCUUGUUUUAAUAGGUCUUAAAUUUCUCAACCACCCUUCUUUUAGUCCCAGAAGCCACUUCUCUUUCACCCUCUCUCUCUCUCUCUCUCUCUCUCUCUCUCUCUAGGUUCCUUGUAGACCAAGGCUUGCUUGUAUUGUUUGGCUAUGAUGAUCUCAGCACAUCAGAUUGAUUUGAAAGGCCCAAGUUGCUAACAGCUAAGAUCAUUAUUCAUAUGAACUUGGUGAAUUAUGAUGAACCUGAAAAGAGUAAAAUGGAUUGGAGAUUUCCACAACACAAAAGUGGGCUUCUCCAUAUUAUAGUCAUAUUACUAUAAACUGCUUAGUUUUAGAGUAUCUUUCGUCUUGUGGCAGAGAUCUUAGCCUUCUCAGCUGAAUCUAUGGGGUCCCAUUUGUGCAAUGUGGUUUUUUAGACCAAAUUCUCUGUGGUGCUCUGUUUCCAAACAUAAUGACAACAUAUGAGGAAUUUGCUUUUAAUGAAUACAAUUAAUAAUUAACAACUCUUCAUUAUUUUACAUUCAUAUCCUUAUUCCUGCAAAGUAAUCUACUAAAAUGAGGGGUAAAAUUAGAGAGUAAUAUGUCAGUAGAUAAUUGGAGUAAUAGAGUAUGUUAGAGAAGGAAAGGACUGGGGGAAGUUUUUGGAAAGUGCAUUAAUGUUGGGGAUUUACACAUAAUCUCUUGCAAAUCUUUGAGUAUUAAUUGUUUCCAAAACCCUCCGUAUAAGAUAAGACCCACUAUAAAAUGUUGGGAGGGAGAAAGAUUUAAACAUGAUCUCUAGUAGAUCUUUGUGUAUCAAUUGUUUCCAAGGCCAAAUUGCAUGUAUAAAAAUCUCUCCGAUAUCUAUCUACAUGUCAGGUAAAAAUCAUGCACCAGGUGUGUACCAUGUAGGCCAUGCACGACCCAACGUAUUUCAUAUGCGCCAAUCCACGUUGGAUGAUGUGUUUUAGUCAUUUUCUUGCUUUAGAAUUACUUUUAAUUAAUUUUAAGAUUGAGUUGAAAGUAUAAAAGCUUUUUUUAUUUUACUUUUGUUUCUAUUUCCAACAAUUGUUACCUUAUUAUAAUGUUUGGUAGUCAAUAAAAGUCACAUAAAUCUUACUAUACUUGAAAACAAAAAAUUAGAGCUUUCUUUUUUCUUUUUUUUUUUUUUUUUGCGCAUAAGAGUUGUCGCAAUGUUUCUUCUAAUAAUUUUGUUUUGUUAAGCGUGAUGCACCAAGUGCAUCAAAUGAUGCUUGGAAGGAGAGUAGGGAGGGUUAGGACAAAGAACGAUUUUUCUCCUCCCUUUUUUUUUNUUUUGACAAAGAAUCCACAAGGGCGUGUAGGAAACUGGGAGGCGCUUCAAGGCUCAAGCUACAGGGUACAGCACCUGCUCUGCAUGCUUCUAUAUAUAUAUAUAUAUAUAUAUAUAUAUAUAUAUAUAUAUAUAGAUAUUCCCCUGCCUCCUUUCAUUGUCUCUAACGUUUCUUCUUUGCAGUCCCCACAUGCAUACAUCCCCAUCGCCACCCUCUACAUCUUAAUUUCUUAAACCCCCCUCCAUUUUUCUACAAACCAAAGUUUUUUUUUUUUGAAAAAAGUAAGAAUCACAUCCUUAUUUACCUACAGGUAUGCCAUCUUACUAAAUCUUUUCUGUCUCUCUCUUCUUUUUUUUUGUUUUUCAAAAAGACAGAUUCGAGAGUAACCCUAAACAGAGAGAGGCCCGCUAUAAAUACCCUCCCCACCUUCUUGUAGGGAGCAUAACAUGCAAUAGAAAACAGAGUCUUUCUUUCUUUCUCUUUUUCCACUACUCUGUUUUUUCAGUUAAAAACAGAGUUUUCUUUUUCUCUCGGCUUCUUUUGCGAUACUUCCUCCUGUUUACAGCAGCAGGAUGAAGGAGUAUUGGUGGACUUCGUUGGCGUCCCUGCUGGGCGCCCUGGCCUUCGUGCAGAGCCUCCUCCACGCCGUCUUCCCCGCGGAGCUGCGCGUCGCCUUCGCCACGCUCCUCCGCCGCCUCUCCGGCGCCUUCUCCCCCUACUGCUACUUCGAAAUCCCCGAGAUCGACGGCGUCAACACCAACGAAUUAUACAAUGCCGUGCACCUCUACCUGAGCCGCGCCGCCGCCGCCUGUGCCGCGGGCUGAACUCGUCGGCGCUGACGUUCGGGCUGUCGAGCAGCGACCGCGUGGCGGACGCGUUCCGCGGCGCGGGGGCGGCGUGGGAGCACGUGGCGACCCCGCGCGCGGCGGCGGGGUUCUCGUGGCGCCCCUUCCCGGAGGAGCGGCGCGCCUUCACGCUCCGCAUCCGGCGCCGCGACGCGCCGCUGCUCGUCCCCUCCUACCUCGACCACAUCAUGGACAGCGCCGCCGACAUCCGGCGCCGGAGCCAGGAGCGCCUCCUCUACACCAACGCCCGCGGCGGCGCCGGCGCCGUCGUGGUCGGCGCCGUGGACGCGGCCCACCGCGGCGGGCACCCCUGGGAGCCGGUCCCCUUCAAGCACCCGAGCACCUUCGACACCCUCGCCCUCGACCCCCGCCGCAAGGCCGAGAUCAUGGCCGACCUCCGCGACUUCGCCGAGGGCCGCGACUUCUACAGCAAGACCGGGCGCGCCUGGAAGCGCGGGUACCUCCUCUACGGCCCCCCCGGCACCGGCAAGUCCAGCAUGAUCGCCGCCAUGGCCAAUUUCCUCCGCUACGACGUCUACGACCUCGAGCUCGCUGAGGUCCACACCAACUCCGAGCUCCGCAAGCUCCUCAUGAAGACCACCUCCAAGUCCAUCAUCGUCAUCGAGGACAUCGACUGCUCCGUCAACCUCGCCAACCGCGGGACGGCCAAGCGCCCGCCGGCCGCCGCCGACCCCGCGGCCGACAUGAUCGGCGGGGACGACGCGCGGACGGUGACGCUGUCGGGGCUGCUGAACUUCACCGACGGCCUCUGGUCGUGCUGCGGGAGCGAGCGGAUCUUCGUGUUCACCACCAACCACGUCGAGAAGCUCGACCCCGCGCUGCUGCGGUCGGGGAGGAUGGACGUGCACGUGUUCAUGAGCUACUGCACCUUCCCGGCCCUGCGAAUUCUCAUGAAGAAUUACUUGGGGAUCGACGACGCGGGCGCGGGCGAAGAGAAGGAUGGGCUGUGGAGGGAAUUGGAGGAGGCGGUCGGCGAGGCGGAGAUGACGCCGGCCGACGUGAGCGAGGUGCUGAUCAAGGGUCGACGAAUGUGGGGGUGCGGCGGAGUUGAGGAAGAAGAGGAUGAUGGAAGGGACCGAGGAGGAAGAGGAAGAGGAGGAGGAGGAGGAGCAGGAGAAGCGGGCAUUGGAGAGCCCGAAGGAAGGAGGAGGAGGAGGAGGAGGAGGAGGAGCCAUGGGUGAUGAAGCUAAUGAAAAGGAGGAGAAGGGUGGGGAGUAAACUGUUGAGAGGGUUGGGACUUGGGAGGGAACUUUAGGAGCUUUGAAUUUUUCUUUUUCUUUUUCUUUUUCUUUUUCUUUUUUUUCCUUUGCUUGAGUUUGUUGUCCUUCUCUCUUUCUCUGAAAGAAGAUUAAAAAAAAAAAAAAGGAAAAAAGAAAAAUAUGCGCAAGGGUCCUCUGGUGUUUCUUUCGCAUUUGUUGAGUGUCCCGAGUUAUACAUCUUGUUGUUGAUCUGGGUCAUACAUACGCUGCACUGUUGUUCCCUGGUUCUUUAGAGGAGGUUUUUAUUAGUGUCUGUUUGGUUCGGCAUUUCGCGCAUUGCAACUCUUGCCGCAAAUUGUAUCUGUUGCAGCUCACUCCGCUUCGCACCGCUGGGCUAAACAGAGUCUUAGUUUUAUUCGAUCUCGAUUACUUACAUAACAUAUCUACAUAAUUGGCAUAUAAUGAAUUGACAAAAUGGCUACUUUGCGCGCACUCUCUACUCACAAAAAUAUCCUUGGUGCAAUUUACACUCUUGAUUUGCAAACACUAUCAUCUUCAGAUGGUGUGAAAUUCGCAGAUAAGAGGUCUAAAUCAUACGAAAGUGUUUUAUUCAUUCUUAUGGUUAUGCAAUAUUAUGUGAUCUUAAUUAGCUUAUACAAAGAGAGAGAAUGUAAAGUUUGAUAGGAGACACUAAUAGAAAAGGUAAAAAUAGAAAAUAAGAUAGAAAUUUAUGUCAUAAAAUGAAGAAUUCGAAAAUUUAAAUCUAGAAACUCUUGGAGCAGAGAGAGUUUUGAACUGACUUUGGCCAUUCUACAUAGUCUAUGAAUAAGAUCAAUCUGAUAGUUCUUUGAUCUCCAAUCGGAUUAACGCGUUUGUAAUUUGGAUUAAAGCGUAUGAAAUCGCUAAUUAGUCUUAAAAAAUGGCCCCUGUGAGUACUUUUAGGUAUGUGAAAAAUUUGUUCCUUUCAAGCUUAACUAUGCGAGGAUAUAUAGCAUAGGGAAAAGGCCUAGAGAUCGAUCCAUCUUAUUUUUCCACAAAAGGUGACACGUUACCUGGGGGGAUUAUUGAUCAAUGUCUCACCCCAUAUUGCAAAAGAAUCACUAAUCUUUUUUAAGUCGAAAGUUGAUGUGUCCUAUGCAUUUAUUAACCUCACACUAAGAUUGGUCAAAGAUGUGAAUGUUGGUUAAGAUUCUUCUGUUUGAAGUUUAUUUAGCCCAGUAUUUUAUAGUUUGUUGCCAAGGAUGUUUUUUGCAGCUUUUUUGUGUUUUAUUAAUGGAGAGUGUCAAUGGUUGGUGUAUCUGGUUCUUUUCAUUUUUAGUACAUGCAUGAAGAUCCCUAAAAUAAAUAAAUAAAUAAAUAAAUAAUUCUCUUUCCAUUUUUUGGUGGAUUUGAAAUUUGGUUUGUGGUAACUGCACUAAUUUUUAUCCUCUACACCCUCUUUGGCUGGGGAACACAAGGGGGGAUAAGGAUAAGGGGUUAUCCCCCACUUGUUCCCCAACCACCCCUAAUUUUAUUUUUAAAAUUUAAAAUUUAAAAAAUUAAAUUAGAAUUUCAAAUUUUUAAAAUUUAUAAUUUGUAAUCACAAAAUUAAAGUUUAUAACUCCAAAUUCUAAAUUUUAAAUUUUACAUUUGAUAUUUUAAAUUUUUCAAAUUUAAAUUUGAUCUUAAAUUUAUAAUUUGAGAUUUAAAAUUUUAAAUUUUAAAAUUUUUAAUUUUCAAUUUUAAAUUUUAAAUUUAGUUUUUAGAUUGUGAAAUUUAAAAGUCAAAAUUUUAAAAUUUUAAAAUAUAAAUAUAAAAUUUAAAAAUUCAAAUUAAAAUAUAAUGAUAGCGGCAAUAUCAUUAUUUUCUAUGUAUAACUACCCACUAUUUUUCUUAUUUCAUCUUAUACUUCCAACUGCUAUUUUUUCUUAAUCCUAAGAACAACCUAAUUUUCGUUAAAAUAUAAAAUUGGUUUAGUUCUUGCUUAUAGCUGAACUUGUAUCAAUCCCUGUAAUAUACAGUUCUUACUUAUACCCGAACCAAACGAAGCCUUAAUAAUAUGCUUAACUCGUAGGGGCGAGUGGUCCAAUUUUUAAACCAUAAACAUCUUUUUCGCUUUUGCAUAUAAUAAAGGUUAAAACAAACAUAAUUUAUUUAAAUUAUGAACCAUCUUGAGUCGACCACCUAACCUUUCAAGAUUUUGAUUCCAUUAACUAACCUUUUAACAAAUUAAAUUUGAAUCAAUUUUUACUGCAUUUUGACUUCACAAUUGAAUGCGUCGUUUAUCUUUACAAUUUUAGCUAAUAUAUUUCAAACAAUUUUUAAACCAUAAAUUUAUUAAAUUAAAUAGAUUAAAAUAUUGAAUAAUAAAUUAAAAUUUCGAAACAUGGGAUAAUUAACUCAAAAUAAUCUAUAUAUUUUGUGACAUUGAGAGUUUGGUGAGCAUACUUAGUAUGAUAUUUACACAAAUGUGGAGCAAUGAUUGGUUUCGUAGACGACGGUUGUGGGUGGGAGUUAAAGGAGGAUUGCGGAAGGCUGCAGGUUCCCAGCCACCAGCAAAAGUGGGGCGGACAGCUUAGAUAUGGUUUUGAUGGUUUCAAAGGACUGAUUGAUGAUGGAAUAUAAUUUUUCUGAUCAGGCAGAGCCAGACUCUGCAGAAUCCCUGCUAAACCAAGACAAACUGGUCCUUGAUACUUUAUUCUCUCUCUCUCUUUCUCAUACACACACCAUGACAAGUGAUUCGAAAUAACAACACGUCGCGCAGAUCGCACUUAUUUGGACCGGAAGAUCGAUCUUUUUAGCUUCUGGCUCGGGUAUGAUAUUACAAAAAUAGUACGGUGCGCACUACAACAGAAUUAGGUUAUAGAGAUACAUGUUUGGGACACUUUUAAGUAAGUGUCCCAUUUAUGCUAAAACUUGAAAAAACAUCUAUUUAUGCCUAAAUAUAAAGUUCAAUCCAAUCAGAAAUAAAAGAUUACUCUACUCAACCCACCACACCCAGUCCAUUGUACCCGAUUACAAACAGAAAAGAAAAAAAAGAAAAAUCAAUUACCAUCUUUUCUUCUCUCUUCACUCAAUCCACUGAAAUUCUAGACGAAGAGCUUUUCCUGUCGUCCUCCUCCGCCACCGCAGCCAACGAGAUAAAGUUUCGGCGGUUGCUAAAUACUUAAAUAAGUGUUGGUAAAUUAGCAGCACUCUUUUAGAUUAUAGCGACACACUUUAACUGUUACUAUAUACCUAGCGACCCCACAUAUAGCAACACUUUUUAAAAGUGUCAGUAAUUUUAGCUAGCAGCACUUUUUUGACAUAUACCUAUAUUUAAAAGUGUCGCUAUAGACCGCUUUUGUUGUAGUGGCGUUGCAUCUGAAUGUGCAAUAAUGAGAGUAGUUCUAUUUGCUUUUGUUUGUGAUCGCACAGCGGUGAAAUAUCAUGAGUUUUACAGUUCUUCUGAUAAAAGCUAAAUUUAUCCAUUUCCAUCUUAAGUACUUUUGCUUAUCCAAUAUUAUUAGAUCAUUUUGAUACCAAACGGUCCCGAGUUUCAUUUUAGCCUUCGAAUUUUUAAUAAGCGUGUUAGUUGUACUCAGAAUAACUAUGCGGACAAAUAUGUUAGUUGUACUCGAAAUUUUGAAUCUUAAAGAAAAAAUUUGUUAGCUGUAUUCACUAUAAUGAGCCUUUUCAUGAGGAAAAAAAAAAAAAAAAAAAAACAGAGAGAAAAAAAAUAUGCAUGGAUAUGCAGAUGAAUAUUUCUGGGUACGGACGAAAGUGAAAUACUUUAAAAAAUUUAAGAUAUUUAGUUGUAAAAUUAUAAUGGACAAAAAGUUAGGAUCUAACAAGCAAAUUUUACCUUGCUGGAAAAAUAGCUAGUACGUUCAGCAGCCUCUUUUUUUUUUUUUUUUCUUUUUUUUUUGAGAGAUAGAUAGCACAUUACCCGCUUCGUUUAUUUCAUUUAGAAUUUAGAAAUAAACUUAGCUGGAUAUGUGAAUCAACUAGGAUUCAAACUUGAGACCUCGGAUACCAAUCGUUAAAUUUUUUGCCACUUGCUCCAGGGACAGUCAGUCAGCAGCCAAAUUAUUAGACUGACAAAACGGCUACUGCUUCUCUGAACAGCAAAUUAAUCACACACCACCGUCUCUCAAAGUGGACACCCAUCACAAUGAUUCAAGUGAAACCUAUCAUUUCCCUUUUCACAAAGCUUUUGAUUAAGAGGUUGAGCGGAUCUUGAGCUGUAAUCAAUUUGCCCCCCAGGCCCAUAUCCAGCCUGUUAGUGUAGGGGCCCAAUUUUCUCACCCAAAAAGCGCGGCUUUGACGAGAAGCGCCUCUCAACUAGAUCUCAUUGAGACAGUCCGGCGAGCCGUAUGAUACAGUGCAUAUUUUUUGCGUAAAUAAUAGAAUUAAAAUUCCACAUUUUAAUCGAUCGUUCCUAAAGCAAGUGGCAAAGGACUUGAUGGUUGGUACUCGAGACUCAAGUUCGAAUCCUAAUUGAUUCCCAUUUCUUACUAAGUUUAUUGCUAAAUGACAUAAAACGAUGCGGGUAGCGUGCUACCUAUCUCUCAAAAAAAAAAAAAAACUAGCGCAAGUUGCAAAGGGCUUAGUGAUUGGUAUCCAAGGUCCCCAAGUUCGAAUCUUAGUUAAUUCACAUUUUUAGCUAAGUUUAUUUUUAAAUGAAAUAAAUGAAGCAGGUAGUCUUUUACCUAUCUCUCUCAAAAAAAAAAAAAAAUUCCACAUUUAA